This 64856-nucleotide long non-coding RNA is filed under the name Vitis vinifera (wine grape). RNAcentral's name for it is "long non-coding RNA (VVIN_LNC001392)". The record is from RNAcentral. Lineage: Eukaryota; Viridiplantae; Streptophyta; Magnoliopsida; Vitales; Vitaceae.
CACCACUCGUAAUAACCAAAUUCACUCAGUUGGGAUAGGUGGGAGAUGGUGGUUUGUGGGGUGGCUUGUGGGGAGGAGUUGGAGGAGGCUUUAUUUUCUGAGGCGGCUUGUAUGAGUGUGCAGGAGGAUGCCCGGGAGUGUGACCAUAAUGUGGUGGCUUCUCUCCCGUAGGUGGUUUGCCAAAUGGGCUUGGUGGCUUCUCUCCCUUAGGAGGUUUACCAAUUGGGGUUGGUGGCUUGUGUUCUGGGAGUGGUUUCUCUCCCUUGGUAGGUUUGCCAAUUGGGGUUGGCGGCUUAUGUUCUGGGAGUGGCUUCUCUCCCUUGGGAGGUUUGCUAAUUGGGGUUGGCGGCUUAUGUUCUGGGGGCGGCUUCUCUCCCUUGGGAGGUUUGCCAAUUGGAGUUGGCGGCUUAUGUUCUGGGAGUGGCUUUUCUCCCUUGGGAGGCUUGCCAAUUGGGGUUGGCGGCUUAUGUUCUGGGGGUGGCUUCUCUCCUUUAGGAGGUUUGCCAAUUGGAGUCGGCGGCUUAUGUUCUGGAAGUGGCUUUUUUCCCUUGGGAGGUUUGCCAAUUGGGGUUGGCGGCUUAUGUUCUGGGGGUGGCUUCUCUCCCUUGGGAGGUUUGCCAAUUGGAGUCGGCGGCUUAUGUUCUGGGAGUGGCUUCUCUCCCUUGGGAGGUUUUGUUGGUGGCUUGUGUUCUGGAGAUGGCUUCUCCCCUGGAGGCUUGUGCUCCGGAGGUGGCUUCUGAAAUGGCGGGGGCUUGGGGUAAUGAGCAAGAGAUGGAGUACUGGUGAGAACCACCAUUCCAAGCAACAAUACUAGCAAGCAUGUGGGAGACAUCUUUGAGUAGUUGUAGCUAAGAUGGCGCAACACUGUAGGCAUUGGGUGGCCUUUUAUAAAGGGCUGGACCCAACAGCCAUAUGACACGUGUCAUGAUGACAAAUGAAGUUGAGGGGAUCCAGAUGGGUCCUACUGAGUCGAAAACUUGCACUAAUUGAUCUGGUGAGAUGACUAUUUCUGUCCUUUUGCCCUUCUCGGCCACCCUGUGCUGUUUUCCUUUUGCACGAUUUUCGUUGCCAAACAAGCAAAUAAUAUUUCGCCAAGAAAGAGGAGAGUGAAUGUGGAAUGCAUCAAGUCCCAUCAAGGAUGGCAGAGAAGAAAUAGAAGAUUGCCCAACUGUGAUAAACAUAGCAUACACGUAGCACCAGGAACUUCAUUUACUUCCAUCUAAUGGAACAUAACAAUCUUCUAAAGUUUUUGCAUGAUUUUGUUAUAUGUCUCUUAGCCUAAAGUUGGAAAUGCGCAACAAAUUUUGUCACUUCUCUAUUUCCCACUGAUGAUGUUAAUUAGCCUUCAUAGAUAUCAUCCUUUCUACAAAGUGCUUCAUUUGUGUGUUAUUGUAAAGUGUAAGAAAAGUAAUUGAACAUGUUCUUUUUCCUUUCAUAGAUGACUUUUGAUGUGCAUUUUAAAAGCAGCGCUGUGAGUCGGUGACCUUGAUUCACACGGAAACUAAGGCUCCUAUAGGACCCACUUUUAGCUGGUUAGGGGUGAAGAAAAUAUCAACUUUUCAGAGUGAUUUAAGUCAAGGCCAAGCCUCACUGUGUCAUUACUCGUGUGAAUUUUAUAUGCACAUACAUACAUAAAUAAAGUAUGAGACCCAAAUAACACCUUCCCUUUACAAACUUAACCCCAGCCGCUCUCUUUCAAUUCUUUUCACACAAGGGUAUUGACUCUAUAAAGGUCAAGAAAAUCAUAAUUUCCUAGGGUUUACAAGGUAAUUGGCUUAAUGCUAAUGUGAAAACAUAAAAGAUAAUAGUAUAUUGUAAGCUAACGAAUAUUCUAUAGUUAUAAUUAUUUGUGAUGUGCAUAAAUAAAUCUUCAUAUAUAUAAUGGAACAAUGAAUAAAGAACCAAUGAAAAAAUACUAUAUAUCAUUGCUUGGCAUUUAAACCGUAUAUGCUGCUCUUUCUAGCUACUCCAUCCACUGAAAGACAACAAGGUAAUCCAUGUUAUAAUGAUAGAAGAUACUGUCUCUAGGCUUUUUGUGAUGAAAAAUAUAAGAUAUGGGUAGGGUUGACCCUUGUAUGUUUGUCCUAUAAACACUUCAAAGUAACAUAUUUUUCUUCUUUAGCAACUCAUAAUGAUGGGGUUCAUUUGCAUGUCACUGAGUUGAAAAGUUGGACAAUUGCCCAUGUCGCCUUCCUCCUAGAUUCCGUAGUUCACGGGAAGGUAACUCAAGUUUGACAUAUUUUGAAUUCUUUUCACUCGGACGUCUUCAUAACCUGACAAAACAAAAAUGAAAAACAGAGGAUUGGUAUAUUAUUCAUGGUAAGCCUCAAAUUAUAGUAGUAUGAGAAAGGAGAAAAAGAUUUUGGGAACUCCAAUCUGGAUAAUUCUCGUUUCUUCUCUUGAAUAAAAAUUUCACUUACCUAACUUCGUUUGGAGAAAUGGCAUAUUUUAAUUUUGUACGUCAUUGCUAAUAAAUGGAGCAAUUUAGCAUGUUUUGUGACUGAAACUGCAAAUGUCCAAUUGGCAUUUCUUCAUUUCCCACUUAGGAUCUGAUCUUGUAGACCAUAUAACGAUAUGUAUCUGUGCAAGCAUUGAAAACUAAUGUGAACUAUGAGGAGUUACAAGCCACUGGACUGUAGAGCGAGUGCCAAGAUUUAAAUCUUCAGGCUCUAUCUGGGUAAGGGGAGGAUAGCGACCUAACCUUUUACCAAAGGCUUAGAAUUUAGACUUUUGGAAAAAAAUUUCUCAUGUUUUGGCUGGAUUUCUUGUGCUUGGCGCAAAAAGGAGAUGGCCUCAAGAAAUAGCAGACUCACUUUUGUUUUCAGCCCUUAAUAAUUCUCCACUGCUUUCCAUAACUACAUGGGUUAUACAUGCAGUCUGCUGCAAUAUUCCAGUUAUAUUUAUUAUUUCAAAGAGGGUGAAUGACUUCACAUGCAAUAUGUUGCAGUAACAACCCAAAUUUUGGCACACCAUCUUAAGAAUAGAAAAGUAUAAUAAAAGAAAUCAAUCAGAGAAUCACUUUGCAUGCAGUUCAUAGAGUUCGCCCAAAAUGGAGCCACAUGUACGGACAACCCCACAAUAGACAAUCUUCUCUAUACAGUAAUAAAAUACAGAAAUGGUUAAUGAAGCUCUGUAUUUCCUUAUCAUAUAUGACCGGUUGAAAACUCAGCAAGUCUUCCUCAAUCACAGACAGUUGGAGUUGCUUCAUCAAAAUCAUGCCUUCAUUACUGGCUUCAUUUUGGUUUCAAUGUCUGUUCUACCCUUAAAUUGGGUCUCUGCUUACUACCGGGAUAUCCUUUAGCGUCCUGCAAUUCUACUAGAUUAAAGAGAAUGACUUAAUUCUGCAUUCUGCCGUCCCUAGUCCAAGUGGUACUAGAAUUGAUGUUUCCUUUAGUGUCCUUUCUUCAUACUUUCAGGUUCUUCCCUUGUUUCAAUAAUGCUGUUUUCCUUCAUGUUUAACCUCUGUUGAACCACUUAAAACAACACAAUUUGCACACCAAUGUUUCUUUACAGAAAAGACUGUUUGCAAAAAUGCACAUGUUAUAAGGUUAAUGGAAGAAUUAAUUUGGGGAUAAGGGACUAGGAUUGGGCCAAUGAAGUUUGGUGUUAAAUUUUGAUUAUGAUUGCUUUUCAUUAUCAGGUACCUUAUAUUUGCUGAUGCUAUCUGGAACUAAAUUCAAAUCAGACAUUAUCCGAUUACUAACAGGACAUAUCAUGUCCCUCUGCAGAGUUUCUAAACUAACAUGUAUCGAAAUGUGGCCCCAAAAGGAAGGCUAGGAAGAUGGAGGAUUUUGUAGGAAUCGACCAGAAUCAGAUGGAAGAGAGAUAGUCCUGUUGACUUUAAUGGUUGUGAUAGGAACAUGCAUCAUUAUAUGAGAAGUUGCAUGAAUUUAUGUAUCCUGUUAUCGUUCCUUGACGAUUUCCCAAUGCAAUUUCACUGUCCACAAGACUAACCUCUCCAUGCAGUCAAAUGAAUUGUAAUUUCUCUAUUGGUACCAGUAGUACAUUUCAUACCAAACAUAUAGUAAAUAUAAAAUAUAAAUAGAUCAAGGAAAUCUGAAUUGUAGAUAGCACUGCAAGUAACACUCAAUAUUCUCUAUAUAUAAUAAAAUAAACAGUGUCACAAUACUCAUCACCCAGUGGCAAGGGAGAAAAACCUACAAUGAGUACUCAAAUCACCAUUCUCAAACAGAAACAUAGCAGUGACUGAUACAUAGAACCUAUAUGCUCACAGGGAAAGAAUAAGAUGACCAGUGCACAGCGGGCAGCAGCUCUUAUUUUACGUACAACUCAAAUCCCAAACUAACCAAAGUCGCUCAGUUGGGAUGGGUGGGAGAUGGUGGUUUGUGGGAUGGCUUCUGGGUAGGAGCUGGUGGCUUCUGUCCCUUUGGUGGUUUGCCUAAUGAGCUUGGUGGCUUGUGCUCCGGGAGUUGUUUCUCUCCCUCGAGUAGGUUUCGAGUCUUGUCAGAUGGCUUGUGUUCUGGUGGUGGCUUCUCUCCCUGGGGUGGUUUGCCGAAUGGGCUUGGUGGCUUGUGUUCGGGGAGUGGCUUCUCUCCCUGGAGAAGGUUACGAGUUUUGUCAUAUGGCUUUUGUUCUGGUGGUGGCUUCUCUCCCUGGGGUGGUUUGCCGAAUGGGCUUGGUGGCUUGUGUUCGGGGAGUGGCUUCUCUCCCUGGAGAAGGUUACGAGUUUUGUCAGAUGGCUUGUGUUCUGGUGGUGGCUUCUCUCCCUGGGGUGGUUUGCCGAAUGGGCUUGGUGGCUUGUGUUCGGGGAGUGGCUUCUCUCCCUGGAGAAGGUUACGAGUUUUGUCAGAUGGCUUUUGUUCUGGUGGCGGCUUCUCUCCCUGGGGUGGUUUGCCAAAUGGGCUUGGUGGCUUGUGUUCGGGAACUGGCUUCUCUCCCUUGGGAGGUUCAGUUGGUGGCUGCUGUUCCGUAGGUGGUUUCUUCACCGGCGGCUUGUGCUCCGGAAGCGGCUUCUCUACCUGGAGAAGCUUACGAGUUUUGUCCGAUGGCUUGUGUUGUGGUGGUGGCUUCUCUCCCUGGGGUGGUUUGCCAAAUGGAGUUGGUGGCUUGUGUUCGGGGAGUGGCUUCUCUCCAUUGGGAGGUUUAGUUGGUGAUUGGUGUUCCGUAGGUGGUUUCUGAAGUGGGGGAUGCUUGGGGUAGUCAGCAAGAGACGAGGUAGUGAGAACCACCAGUCCCAGCAGCAACACUAGCAAGCAUGUGGAAGACAUCUUUGAGUUCAGGCUGAGAUCUGUGCAAGGAUAACAGAAUUAGGUGGCCUUUUAUAGAGGCCUGGACCCAACACCCAUAUGACACGUGUCAUGCACUCAUGGUGACACAUAAUUCUAUGGGACCAUUUGGGUCCUACAGAAGUUGCAAAGUUGGACUACUGAGGUGUGAUCACAACUUUUGUCCUUAUUGCUUUCUCUGCGGCCAUUGCACGAUUUCCUUUAGCAUCAUUUUCUUGGCUAAAUAAGCGUAUUAUAUUUGUGGCAGACCGUCCACGUGUCAUAAACAGAUAUAUUAUAAUAAUGUAGUAUGCUUUUCUCCAAUGGAACAUGACACUCUUCUAAGUCUUGUUUUAAAUAUUGUGCAGGAUUACUUUAUACGUUGCAGUUCCAAGUCAAAAUUGGUGGGCAAACGUUGGCCUUUUUUCAUUUCACCUAAGAUUAAUGCUCACCUGGGAUAGGCACUACAUGACUUAUCUGCUCUUUUACUGUAAAGUUGCUUUGUGUAUGAGAUACACCUCCCCUGCACACCCUCAACAUUCGUUGCUCUGUUUUCCUUGUGUCCAGACGAGGAUAUUAAUUGGAGGCUGACAAAACGACUGCUAGCCCAGGAUUUACAAGGUCCUGGUUUGAGGCUUCGGUGAAAGUAUUUUUGAAAAGACACACAUAGAGAUAGUGCGUUUGGUGCAAUGCAGCACUGUGAGCCAUUCUGACGCGUUCUUAAUUUCAAAACUAAUGAAUGCUUCAAAAUUUUAAGAAGUGACAUUUCCAAAUAUUUGAGUUCGUUUAAUUGAACAUUGGAUAACUAGUGAUCAUAGAUUAUUAUCUGUGCUUGGCACUAUAAGAGGGUAUAUGCUUCUUUUUCUGGCCCCUCCUUCAAGGGAGGAGGGACAAUGUGAUCUGUAACGUUAGAAGCUAUUCCAUGUCAUCUUUGGGCUCAGUUCAAAACUAAAAGAUAAUGGGGGGGGGGGGGGGGGGCAUAUCAUUUUAUAUUUCUUCUAGAAGGUUUGUUCUGGAAAUAUUUCACAGGAGCAUAUCUUUUUCUUCUAUUACGUCAUCCGCAGCCUCCAAUAGGUCGGUUAACAAGCCACCGAGUUGAAAAGUUGGAAAAAUGGGAACACAGCCCGCCUCUUGUAUUCAGUAGUUAAAUAAAAGGUCACUAGAAGUGAGAUCCCUUUUGGCGUCUUGAUUUUCAAUCCAGCACCUCUGUGACCUGACAAACCAAAAAAACUAAAAAAUAAAAAACAGUACGUGGGUUGGUGUUAAGCAUCAAGACAUGUUAAUGAAAGAAGGUAGAGAAUAGGAUAUUGAAAUCCCAAUCCUGAUAACAUGAUUUUCUUUGCUAACAACCAUAUUAUAUUUUAUCAAGAAAGAGUAAUGCAUGUGGCGUCCAUCAAGACCCAUUAGAGUUCCGCUAAAGCUAUAGUUCUGUCAACGUUAUCAUUUACGUUUCCUCUAGAUAAUGGCAUUUUCCUCUAAAGCUCUUGCACCAUUAGGCUUCAAGUCAAAAUUUCACAUGUGAACUUUGGAAAUUUUCUCCAUUUGCCCCUAAGGAUACAGUUAGAAUUGACUUAAAAUCCUGAUUGAUAUGUACUAUUAACCAAAGAAUAUUGUAUAUAAUAAUUGAAAUAUUGUUGAUUCAUCGUGGAAAUACAUUUUGUAAGGAAAGUUGUUGAGAAUUUAGUAUGCUAUAUGGAGAAAAAAGUCAUGACUUAAGGUUGUGUAUGUAUAUUCUAUAUCAAAUAUUAGGUAGGAAUGUGGGAAAGAGCAGAGUGUAAUGAUAAGAAACAAAGAAAUAUAAGAUAUUCUUGAAAGUGGAAAAUAUAAAAUGGCUAACGAGUCAAAUUUAUGAUGCGUAAGGGGGAUCAUGUCACAUAAGAAAACCAUGGCAUACUAAAGACGUACGUGUGGUAUGGAGUAAUAAUUUUGUUAAAAUAAGUUUCUUGUUGGAGUACAUUAGGUGACUAUUCAUAACGUAUCAAAUUAAAGAGUCAAGUGCAUCAAUGAAGGCAUAUGUAGAAAAUUUGUUUGUGACAUGUACCAUAAAGAUAAGAUUGACUUGAUAGAAUUUAGUCUAAGUAGGAGUUGUUAAAGGUGUCUUAAAUUUCUAAUUGAUGUAUAUUUUUUUCUAAAAAAAUAUUAUAUAGAUAUUUUAAUAAAUGAUUAAUUCUUUGUAAAAAUACUUACAUAAUAAAAAACAUCAUUAAAAAUAUCUUUAUAAAUAUUUUAAGUUACAAGAAGGAAAAAAACCACUGUGAGAUAAUGAUGAACAUGCAACACUGUACCAAGUAAAUAAAAAUGUGAUAAAAAAAAAAGAGAAACACUCGAUAAAGGAAGGCUCGUAUAUAAAGAGUAAUAUUUUUAAUCAUAUGAUAGAAUGAUUUUCUCUCAUUCAUGAAUAUAGGCAAGAUUGGGGAACCAUUAUAAAAUUUUGUACACCUCGUGUAAAUUGAUGUUUGUCUUCAUAUUUUACACCAACAAAUGACAUUGAAGUUGUCAUUGAUAAAAGGGAAAAGGCAUGCCUCCACACCAUGUGCUUGAUUCGAAUGGUUCAAGUUUGAAGAAUUUUCUCCGGAAGAUCUAAAACAUUUUCGCCUUUAAAUUUCAUUUGAUUAUUAAUAUCCGAAAAAAUAGUUAAAUACUCUUUCUAUUUUUGAGUUGUUGAAUUUUUUGAAAGUUUUUAUAUUUGUUAUCAAGAAUUUCUAUUUUAUUAAGGGUGAAUAUUUAUAAAUAAGAUAUUAUAUAAUAUUUGGAUAAGAGAGAAUGGUGGAAUAUAAUAAAGUUUUAAUCCUUCCCAAUUUUGAACCUUUUUUUUUUUUUUUGAUAUAAUCGCCUUUCUCUUGCAAUCCUAUUAUCAGGUACCUUAUAUUUGCUGAUGCUAUCUGGAACUAAAUUCCAAUCAGGCAUUGUCCAAUUACUAAUAGGACAGAUCAUAUCUCUCUGUUUCUAAACUAACAUGUAUCGUAAUGUGACCUCAUAAGGAAGGCUAGGAAGAUGGAGGAUUUUGUGGGAAGCGACCAGAAUCAGAUGGAAGAGAGAUAGCCCUGUUGACCUAAUGGCUGUAAUAGGAGAAGCGUGUGGUUUUAUGGGACUUAACUGAUACUAAACCUGUAUGAUGCUUGGAGUGGUGUUUCUUUCAUUUUGUUAAGAAAAUAUGGCAGCAUACAUGCUUUCAACUGAGUGCAUCAGAGCAUCCAUAACAGAUGGUCUGCAACCCUAGGUGCAUGCCACUUUCUGACUGAUAAUGAAAUUGUCAGGUACCUGGCCUUGACUAAGCUCAACAGCAUCACAUAAAGAGAAGCUUUCAUACUUAGAUUACUGUUUAAAGUUUUUGCUUAUUUGAUUUCUUAAUGCCAUUAUGACAUUAUUGAUUCAAUUCUGCUUCCGAUUUUCGAAGUUCUGGGCAUCUACUGAUUGCAUCAUUAUAUGAGAAGUUGCAUGAGUUUAUGUAUCCUGUUAUUGUUCCUUUGCGAUUUCACUGCUCACGGGACUAACCUCUCCAUUCAGUCGAAAUGAAUUGUAAUUUCUUUACUGGUAGCAGUAGUACUUUUCAUAGCAAAGAUAAUAGAAAAUAUGAAAUAUAAAUAGAAGGAAAUCUGGAUUGUAGAUAGCACCAUAAGUAACACUCAAUAUUCACUACAUAAUAAAUAGACAGUGUUACAUAGGUAGAGAAACCUACAAUGAGUACUCAUCACCAUUCUCAAACAGAAACAUAGCAGCGACUUAUACAUAGAACCUAUAGGCUCGCAGGGAAAGAGUAACAUGAUAAGUUCACAGCGGGUAGCAGCUCUUAUUUUACGUAUUACUCAAAAUCUCAAACUAACCAAAGUCACUCAGUUGGGAUGGGUAGGAGAUGGUGGUUUGUGGGGUGGCUUCUGGGUAGGAGCUGGUGGCUUCUUUGUUGGAGUUGAAGGAGGCAUAUUCUUCUGAGGUGGCUUGUAUGACUCUUCGGCACUCUCUGCAGGAGGGUGCCCAGGGUUGUGACCAGAAGGAGGUGGCUUCUGUCCCUUUGGUGGUUUGCCUAAUGGGCUUGGUGGCUUGUGCUCCGGGAGUUGUUUCUCUCCCUCGAGUAGGUUUCGAGUUUUGUCAGAUGGCUUGUGUUCUGGUGGUGGCUUCUCUCCCUGGGGUGGUUUGCCGAAUGGGCUUGGUGGCUUGUGUUCGGGGAGUGGCUUCUCUCCCUGGAGAAGGUUACGAGUUUUGUCAGAUGGCUUUUGUUCUGGUGGCGGCUUCUCUCCCUGGGGUGGUUUGCCAAAUGGGCUUGGUGGCUUGUGUUCGGGAACUGGCUUCUCUCCCUUGGGAGGUUCAUUUGGUGGCUGGUGUUCCGUAGGUGGUUCCUUCACCGGCGGCUUGUGCUCCGGAAGCGGCUUCUCUACCUGGAGAAGCUUACGAGUUUUGUCAGAUGGCUUGUGUUGUGGUGGUGGCUUCUCUCCCGGGGGUGGUUUGCCAAAUGGACUUGGUGGCUUGUGUUCGGGGAGUGGCUUCUCUCCAUGGGGAGGUUUAGUUGGUGGUUGGUGUUGCGUAGGUGGUUUCUGAAGUGGGGGAUGCUUGGGGUAGUCAGCAAUAGACGAGGUAGUGAGAACCACCAGUCCCAACAGCAACACUAGCAAGGAUGUUGAAGACAUCUUUGAGUUCAGGCUGAGAUCUGUGCAAGGAUAAAAGAUUUAGGUGGCCUUUUAUAGAGGGCUGGACCCAACACCCAUAUGACACGUGUCAUGCACUCAUGGUGACACAUAAUUCUAUGGGACCAUUUGGGUCCUACAGAAGUUGCAAAGUUGGACUAUUGAGGUGUGAUCACAACUUUUGUCCUACUUGCUUUCUCUGCGGCCAUUGCACGAUUUCCUUUAGCAUCAUUUUCUUGUCUAAAUAAGCGUAUUAUAUUUGUGGCAGACCGUCCACGUGUCAUAAACAGAUAUAUUAUAAUAAUGUAGUAUGCUUUUCUUCAACGGAACUUGACACUCUUCUAAGUCUUGUUUUAAAUACUGUGCAGGAUUACGUCAUAAGUUGCUUGUUCCAAGUCAAAAUUGGUGGGCAAACGUUGGCCUUUUUUCAUUUUCCCUAAUAUUAAUGCUCACCUGGGAUAGGCACUACAUGAUUUAUCUGCUCUUUUACUGUGAAGUUGCUUUGUGCAUGAGUUACACCUCCCCUGCACACCCUCAACAUUUGUUGCUCUGUUUUUCUUGUGUCCAGACGAGGAUAUUAAUUGGAGGCUGACAAAACGACUGCUAGCCAAGGAUUUACAAGGUCCUGGUUUGAGGCUUUCACGAAAGUAUUUUUGAAAAGAUACACAUAGAGAUUGCGCGUUCGGUGCAAUGCAACAAUGUGAGCCAUUCUGAAGUCUUAAAUUUCAGAUUAAUGAAUGCUACAAAAUUCUAAGAAGGGCCGUUUCCAAAUAUUUGAGUUCAUUCAUCCGAACAUCGGGUAUAUGCUUCUUUCUCUAGCCCCUCCUUGAAGGGAGGAGGGACAAUGUGAUCUGUAUCGUUAGAAGCUAUUCCAUGUCGUCAUCUUUGGGCUCAGUUCAAUACUAAAAGAUAUGGGCGGGGCCCUUAUCAUUUUAUAUUUCUUCUAGAAGGUUUAUUCUGGAAAUCUUUCACAGAAACAUAUCUUUUUCUUCUCUACGUGAUCCGUGGUUUGAAAGUUGGAAAAAUGGGUCCGUUAACAAGCCACCGAGUUGAAAAGUUGGAAAAAUGGCAACACCGCCAACCUCUUGUAUUCGAUAGUUAAAUAAAAGGUCACUGGAAGUGAGAUCCCUUUUGGCCUCUUGAUUUUCAUUCCAGCAUCUCUAUGGCCUGAUAAAUUAAAAAACUAAAAAAAAAGACAGUACGUGGGUUGGUGUUAAGCAUCAAGAGUCAAGACAUGAUAAUGGAGAGAAAGGAUAUUCAAAUUCCAGUUCUGACAACAUGAUUUUCUUUGCUGAACUACCAUAUUAUAUUUGAUCAAGAAAGAGUAGUGCAUGUGGCCAGGAUCAAGACAUACAUUAAUUUCCACAUGAUGAAGACAGUUUCUGAGAGUUUCUUCUAAAGCUCUUGCGCGAGUAGGCUUCAAGUCAAAAUCUCCCAUGUAAACACUGGUUUUUCUUUCAUUGCCACUAAGGAUGCAGUUAAUAUUGACUUAAGAUCCUACGUGAUAUAUUUUUUUAAAAGAGCUAUAUUGUAGAUAAUAUUUGAAAUAAUGUUGAUUCGUUGUGGAAAUAUAUUUGUAAGGAAAGUUGUUGACAAUUUAAUAUAGUAUAAGAAGAAAAAAGUUAUCAACUAGCUAGAGAUGAGUAUGUAAAGUGAGGCUCACGAUUCAACGCGUAAAUAUAAGAUAUUUUAAGGCUCAAUAGUUAUGAUAUCUAUUUUAUUUUUUGUAUCUCAUAUAUUCAAAGAUAUAGUAAAAUGAUUUUACAUAUAUAUAUAUAUAUAUAUAUGAACAUAACUAUUUGUGCCAAUUGAUUUUUAUCUUUAUUUUGUAUAUUAGUAAUUAUAUUAAAGUUUUUACUAAUAUAAUAACUAAUAUAAAAGCUUUUUCUAAAAGAGUCAACAGAGCAAAACACUUAUUAUAAAAAAUAAUUUUGAUUGAAGGUGGAGUCAAUUAUUCUUUAUUUAACAUGUAAUGCAUACGGCGUGUACUUCAUAACUAAAGUAUAUAAGUGUAACAUCUCUUAUAUAUUCUCAUUCAAUCUCGAAAGUGGAAAUUUUAAAAAGAUUAAACGGUUCAAAUUUGUCGUGCAUAAAGGGGAUCAUGUCACAUAAGCAAACCAUGGCAUACCAAAGACAUAGGUAUGGACUAAGAAUUUUUUUCAAAUAAGUUUCUUAUUAGGGUACAUUAAUAGGUGACUUUUUAUGACAUAUCAAAGGAGUCAAGUGCACCAAUAAAAACAUAUAUAGAAAAUUCAUGCAUGACAUGUAUCACUAAGAGAAGAUUGACUUGAUAGAGUUUAAUCCAAAUAGGAGAUUGUUAAAAGGUGUCUCAAAUUCUUGAUUGAUAUAUAUUUUUUUUAUUAAAAAGGUUAUUAUAUAGAUAUUUCAAUAGACUAUUAAUUCUUUGUAAAAAUAGUUAUAUAAUGAGGAUGGUGAUUAAAAAUAUCUCUAUCAAUAUUUUGGAUUAUAAAAAGAAAAAAAAUGAGAUAAUGAUAAACAUAUAAAACUUGUACAAGUAGAUAAAGAUGUGAUGAAAGACACUUGAUGAAUGAAGGCUUUGUAUUUCAAGAUAUAAAUAUAUGGAGCAAAACUCUUAAUUAUAUGAUCAAAUGAUUCUCUCAUAUUCAUGAAUAUAAGCAGGAUUGGGGAACCAUGAUAGAAUCUUAUAUGCCUCUCCAUGUAGAGUGAUCGAUGUUUAUCUUCAUAUUUUACACCAGUGAAUGACAUUGAAACUCUUAUUGAUAAAAGGGAAAAGGCAUGGCCUCCACCCCAAGAAAAACAAGUAACCUCGGUUUAAAUCACUAGUCUACACCCCGAAGAGAGAACUAGCCAAACCUACUAAAAGAGAAACUUAACAAUUUAGAAAGAAACCGUCCAUGAUAAAGGGCCCCUAAAGGUCCAAUUCAGUGAGGUCGUGAACAAAAACACUUUCAUGUCAAAACAGAGAUAGGUACCACCAAAAUGUAAAGGGAAAGAUGUAAACCACGUCGAACUUUGGUAAUCAAUGGUAAAGAUAGCAUGAUAGCUAAAAGCACUAAAGCUGUGCUUGGUAUGCAAAAAUGAAAAGUGGAAAUCAGCGUCUUAUUCUUUUUCACCUUUAUUCACAUAUUAGGAUAACUAAUAUCUAAUGUUUUUUAUGUCUCAAAUUCUAUUCCAUGUUAUGGUAAACUUUCAUCUUGUUUAGAUCACUUUUGUCUGGUUUGGGCUCAAGACGAUAAGCCUAUAGAGACUUCAUAUUGGGUUGAAUCGAUGCCCUUGAUCUGAUCUGUUCGUUAGAAAAAUCUGAAUUAUUAUAAGCAUUUAGAUAAAAAAUAAAUAAAUGUGAAACACAAACUACUCCCUGCACAACCUUGACCCUAGUUACUCAGUUUCACUGCUCACAGGACUAACCUCUCCAUUCAGUCGAAAUGAAUUGUAACAAGAAGAUUUUUGACAGGAGGACGGUAGUUUAAAAUAAUAAUUUCUAAAGUACUUUUGUGAAAAAAAAUAAUUCCAAACGUGGAUUUUAUCAAGUAAAAAGAAAAAAAAAAGUUAUUUUCUUUUAAAAUCUGUUCUUCUAAAGAUGAUAUAUAUACCAAAAAAAAAAAUUGUUUUCUGAAGGUAAAAUUUUUAAAAUUCAUUUUUAAAAAAAUUUACACACUAAAAUUAUCUUUUCAAGAGAAGAUUUUUUUAAUUUUAAAUAAUUAUUAAUUUAUAAUUAAUUUGUUAUUAAUUAUUUAUUAAUUUUUUUAUUUGAAAAAUGCAUUUAUAAAAAACAAAUUUGUUAUUAAUUUAUUAAAUAAUUUUUACAAAAUAAAUAAUUUUUUUUUAUUUUAAUUUUAAAAUUAAUUUUAUUAUAUAAAUUUUAAAAUUAAAAAUAUUAAUAUUUAAUUUAAAAUUUAACUAUAAAAGGAAUAAAAUAUAGAAAAAUAAAUUAAUUUAUUAUUCAAUAAAUUAAUUUUCAAUAAAAUUUUCAGCAUUAAGAGAUAAAUUUUUAAGUAUUAAUCAAUUUAAAAAGAAAUAAUGAUCAUUUGUAUAUUAAGAUAUUUUAUUUAGUAAUUAUGAAUGAUAAACAACUAAAGUAAUUUGAAAAAAUAAUAAAAUAUUUAAAAAAUAAUAAUUUAAUACACGUAAAAUUAGAAAUGAUUAACUAUUUUUUAUUAAGAAAAAAUUGAGGAAAUAUUUUGUUAUUUAAAAUUUUUUAUUUGUUUUCAAUUUUUAAUGUUAUAGGUUUCAAGAAAAUUGAUCAAAUAAAAAUUAAGAAGUCAUUUUUUCAAAAACUAUAUAUCUAAAUAAAAGCCUUGAAAUUCAAAUACACAAUAUCAUAAAUAUAAACACCAAGUCAAUCCUUAAUUAUCAAAUGUUUUUAAUAUUAAAGAAUCAAAAUCACCUACUAUCAUGAUAAUAAGAAAACCAAUAAUAUUGUUCAUAUAAAUACUAAAAAGCUAACAAAUAUCCCAAACAAUUAAUAAAGUAUCAAACAUGAUAAAAAGUCAAUUAUUAUCAUGAAUGCAAAAAAUCAAUAAUUUUGUUUAUAUGAACCAUCAACAAAGAAAAAAAAAAUCAAUAUCUAAAUAUUAAACAUAAUUUAUAUUUUUAUAAAUAUUAUUGUUGAUAAAUAUCUUAACAAUUAUAAUUUUAGUAAAUAAAAUUAAUUAAUUUUAGUUUAAGAAUUAUUUUUUUAUACUUUCGUAUUCUUAUCAAAAAUCCCCAUUUUGCAUGUCUCCUUUGGCAUGACUUUCUUACCUAAACAAGCAUAUAUAUAUAUAUAUAUAUAUAAAAUAUUUGGUUAAGAAAGAGUACUAAAGUUUAUAUGGCACACAUCAAGAUAGAAACAGAAGUGGAAGAUAAUCCAAAUGUAUGAACAGAUAUAUUAUAUCCAUGUAGUGGUAGUGACUUCAUUAUUUACUUUUAUCUAAUGGAGCAUGACACACUUCUUCUGAAUAUUUUGCACGAUUAUGUUAUGUGUCAGCUUGUUCUAAGUCAAAACUAGUGAUAAAAAUCGGUUUUUUUUGCAUUUCCUUCAUGAAGAUGGCACCUGGAUGGGGCACUACAUGAGUGGCAUAGCACGAAGUGAUUUAUCUGCUCCCUUUACUAUAAAGUGCUUUGUGUAUAAGUUACACCUCCCCUGCACUGCCUCAACAUUUGUUGUUCUGUCUUCCGUCUGUCCAAACGAGGACAAACGUAUGUUGUAGGUUGACAAAACCACAGCUAGCCUAGGAUUUGCAAGGAUCUAGUUUGAUUCGUAUGCAAAAGGAUUGGUGAAAAGAUUCACAAAGAUAAUGCUUUUUGCAAUGCAAUCUUGUUCUAAUUCAACAGUGUGGACCAUUUUCAUGUAAUGCUUCAACUAGAUGUCAGUUUCAUGAAUUUUUGUUCAUCUAAUUGAUCACUGGAUAGGCCAUAACCCGAAGAAAUUCAAAAUUCCCUUCAGUACUGUAGCUAAGGAAAGAUCCCUAUCUACCACUGGGAUUUUAAGAGGGUAAAAAUGUAGGUGGGUGCCUAUAUCAUUUGCACUUCACUAUAGGCCUCUUUGGGAAGAUUUCUUCUGAAGACAUUUCAAAGAAACAUAUUUUUCUCUUCUCUCCGUAAACGGCAGCUGCAAGUCAGUCCAUUCACAGGCCACCGAGUUGAAAAGGCUGGAAAAUUGGCCAAAGCACCCGCCUCCUGGAUUCCAUGGGUAAGGAAAAGGUCACUGGAGGUGUGAUCCCUGUUGGCCUCUUGAUUUCCAUUCCGCCAUCUAUAUGACCUGAUAACCCAAAAACACAGAAGGAAAACGUCACCUGGGUUCAUAGUAAGCAUCAAGUCAUGAUAGAGACCAGACAACAUGACCAACAAAGAGUAGCGAAUGGGGCCAACAUCAAGCCCCAUUACGGUUAGAAGAUGGAAGAAGUAGAAGACAAUCCAAUUCUGAUAGAUUCGGGCAAAUGUAGUGCUGUUCAAACUUAAUCAUUUACUAUUUCUUCAUGAAUCACGGCAUUUUUCUUCUGAAAAUUUUCCAAGAUUAGGCCUCUGAAGAAAAAUUUCAUAUGUAAAUUGGUAUAUUAAGGAAAAGGCGUUACAAAGGUGAAAAAAAACCAAUCAAAUCUUAUAUAUGACAUCUCAAAAAUAUGAACUUGCUAUAAAUAUUUAAAAUCAAAAUCUUGCACAUCACCUCGUAGUACGAACUUGCUAUAAAACUUGAAAAUCAAGAAGAAAGGGGCAGUAUUGGACGAGACUACUUAGCACAUAUUAUUAUGAUGUUUUUUCAUUUUCUUAAUGUUGUUUUUAUGUCUUAAAUUCUAUUAUUCUAUGUUACGGUAAACAUUCAUCUUGUUUGUGUGGAAUAGGAUCACUUUUCUCUGGGUUGAGUCGAUGCCCUUAGUUAAUUUGUUCAUUUGAAUAAACUAAAUUAUUAUAAGUAUUUAGAUAAGAAAAACGUGAUACAUAAAUUACGCCUCUCGGCACAACUUCAACACUGGUUACUCUGUUUCAGUUUCCUCACACAAGAUUAUUGGUUCUAGGGUUUAUUUGGUUUUGGUUUGAUUCUAAUUGCUAAACUUUCUCAAGGAAGAUGUUAUAUAGGGAGUGAGAAACCUUCACUCUUGGCUACCUCCAAGAGAAGAGCAAGUGGUCUGAAUCAAAGAUAUACUGCUCACUUUUUCUUCUUCUAAGGACAGCUAUGACCUUGCUUUAAGGUUCGAAUAGCCUAAUGCAACCUCCCAUUUCUCAAGUCAGCUGAUGAUGUAAGUCACCUUGGCUUUCCACAUUCAUACGGUGAGGACGUUUGUGGGUGUAAUUCUCUUAACAGUUUUCAUUUUAUAUGGAAAAAUUCAUAAUUAAGGGUAAUUACUGAUUCCAUUUGACAGUGACCAAGUUUAAAAUAUUAAUUCAUAUAUUAAAUGCACAUUAAAAAAUCAUGGAAUAAAUAUAUUUACUAAUAUAUAGUUCUUUUGCCAUGUUCUGUCACAGAAGCAUCGAACUUUCCCUAGAAAUUUUUGCAUGGUAUUCUACUUAUGAUUUUGAAAACUCUAGGCACCUGAGGCCACUAAUUGCAUGGUUGGAUGAGGAGCUGCAUGAGAUUAUGUAUCGUGUUGUUCCUUAACUACAAAUAUCAGUUUUAAGUAGCAUCUCCAUGUGACAUUUUCCUGAUGCAAUUUCGCUGUCCACCAACAAAUUUCACCAUGCAGCAAGAUGAAUUGUAAUUUCUUUAUUGUUAUCAACAGCUUUAAUUAAUCUUGAUAUAUAUAUAUAACUUAGUAGAAGUAUAUUAAUCUAGAUUGUAGUUGCACUAAGAUAAUAGGCAAUAUUAUAACAGUGCCACAAUGCUCAUCGCCAAAUAGAAAGGUAGAAAAACUACAAUGAGUAACUCACAACAUUCUCAAACAGGACAUAGCGGCGACUGAUACAUAGAACACUAUUGGCACUCAGGAAAUGAUAAGAUCAGUGCCCAGCAGGCAGCACGUCUUAUUUUACAUACUACUUAAAACUAACCAAAGUCAUUCAGUUGGGAUGGGUGGGAGAUGGUGGUUUGUGCGGUGGCUUUUGGGUAGUUGGUGGCUUCUUUCCUGGAACUGAUGGUUUUUUUGUUGGAGUUGAAGGAGGCUUAAUCGUCUGAGGUGGCUUGUAUGAGUCUUCAGCACUCUCUGCGGGAGGGUGCCCAGGGUUGUGACCAUAAUGGGGUGGCUUCUCUCCCUUAGUUGGUUUGCCAAGUGGGCUGGCUGGCUUGUGCUCCGGGAGCGGCUUCUCUCCCUUAGGUGGUUUGCCAAAUGGGCUUGCUGGCUUGUGCUCUGGGAGCGGCUUCUCUCCCUCAAGAAGUUUACGGGUUUUGUCAGAUGGCUUGUGUUCUGGUGGUGGCUUCUCUCCUUGGGGUGGUUUGCCAAAUGGACUUGGUGGCUUGUGUUCGGGGAGUGGCUCCUCUCCCUUGGGAGGUUUAGUUGGUGGCUGGUGUUCCAUAGGUGGUUUCUCAACCGGGGGCUUGUUCUCCGUUGGUGGUUUAUGAACUGGGGGAUGCUUGGGGUAGUCAGCAAGAGACGGGGUGGUGAGAACCACCAGUCCCAGCAGCAACACUAGCAAGUAUGUGGAAGAGUACAUCUUUGAGUUCAGGCUGAGAUUUGUGCGAGACUUGAAGAAUUAGGUGGCCUUUUAUAGCUGGCUGCACCCAACACUCACAUGACACGUAUCAUGGUGACACAUGUGCUAUGGGUCCAUUUGGGUCCUACAGAAGCUGAAAACUUUUGACUAUUGAGGUGUGGUCACAACUUUUGUCCCUAUUGCUUUCUCCGCAACCGUUUUACAUGUUUCCUUUGGCAUAAUUUUCUAAGCUAAACAAGCAUAUAUCAUAUUUGGUUAAGAAAGAGUAAAGUGUAUAUGGCACACAUCAAGGAAGAGAAACAGAAAAAGUGGGAGACAAUCAAUUGUGAUAAACAGAUAUAUUAUAUUCAUGUAGUACUAGUGACUUUAUCAUUUACUUUUAUCCAAUAGAUCAUCACUCUUUCUUCUAAAUAUUUUGGAGGAUAAUGGUACAUGUUGCUUGUUUCCAAGUCAAAAUUGGUGGCAAAAAUCGGCAUGAUACGAAAGGAUUGGUGAAAAGAUUCACAUAGAUGGUGCUUUGUGCAAUGCAGUCUUGCUCUAAUUCAACAGAGUGGACCAUGGUGAUGUAUUUUAAAUUUUAAAUUUUAAAUUAAUGCAUGCUUCAAAGUUUUAACUAGAUGUCACUUCCAUGGAUUUUUGUUCAUUUAAUUGAGCACAGGAUAGGCUAUCAAACUUGAAGUAAUAUAAAAAUCCCUUCAUUACUGUAACUAAUGAAAGAUCAUUAUCUGCGCUUGGUAUUUUGCCAAGGUAUUUGCUGCUCUUUCUAGCCCUGUCUUACAGUUAAGGACAAUGUGAUCUAGUUAACCUUAGAAGCUAUUCCAUGUCAGAUACAAGAGAUCAAGCACAUUAUCUUUGGGCUCAGUUCAAAACUAUAAUAUAUGGGUGGGGUGGAGGCCCAUAUCAUUUGCAUAUCACCACUAUUGGUUUAGUUUGGAAGGUUUCUUCUGGAAGAUUGCUGCUUUCUGGAAUCAUUUCAAAGAAAUAUAUCUUUUUGUUCUCUUGGUGACGAGCAGCGGCAAUCAAGUCUGUUGACAAACAACCGAGUUGAAAAGUUUGAAAAUUGGUCACAGCCCACGUCCAUGGUUAAGGAAAAGGUCACUGGAAGUGAUCCCUUCUGGGCCUCUUGAUUUCCAUUCUGACAUCUAUAUGACCUGAUAAAUAGAAAGAAAAAAAAACAGAAGAAAAGCGGCACCCGGGUUCAUAGUAAGCAUCAAGACAGGAUACUGAAAGAAGGGAGAAAGGAGAUUGCAAGUCCAAUCCUGAUAAAAUGAUCAACAAAGAGUAUCAAAAUGGGGCCAACAUAAAGACCCAUUGAGGUUAGCAGAUGGCAUGGCAUUUUUCUCCUUAAGUUUUCCAUGAUUAGACUUGAAGUCAAAAUUUCACAUGUAAAUUUGUAUUUCUACAUUUCCCACUGACGACACCCAACUUCAACUUGAGUUAGAAUAACAUUGUGUGAACUUAUCUGGCCCUCAAAAUUUACUGUGAAGUGCUUUCUGCGUGUGAAGAUUCAGAAAAGCACCAAGGGAACAUGUAUGGUCUGCCUUUUUCUGAUGUUAUGUUUGUCUCUAAUUCUGUUCCAUGUCAUGGUAAAUGUUCACAUUGCUUGUAUGGAACACACCAGGAUCACUUUUUCGGGUUUAUUUUGAGGCUUCAUAUUGGGUUCAUAUUGGGUUCAAUGCUUUUAAUGUGUUCAUUAGACAAAUCUGAAUUAUCAUAUGCAUUUAGAUAAGAACAAUAAUGUGAAACCCUAGUUACACCUCCCCUGCAUAACCCCAACCCUGCUUACUCUAUUUCAGUUUACUCACACAAGUUUUACCGGUUCUUAUAAGUCAAGAAAAGGCAACUGAUGUUGGAUUGACUCUCUUCCAUGUAUAAAAAGCAACUUUUAUAUAUACAUAAAAUAACUUCUUCCCCUCACCAAUGUGGGAUAUCAUGGAUUUAUUCUGGAAACACAUCAAAGGAACAUCUUUUCUCUUGGGUGACCCUAAGUGGUGAGUCAGACCAUUUGCAUGCCAUUGAGUUGCACAGUUGGAUAAAUGCACCUACCUCCUGGGCUCCAGAGUUAAAAGGGUGGAUCCCUGGAUCGCAACCCUCUUGGCAUCUUGGUUUCCAUUCCAACAUCCACAUGACUUGACAAAACAAAAAACAGAAUAAAAUCAUCACUAUUUUCAUGCUAAGCACCAAUACAUGAUGGAAAUCAUUGCUUAAAGAUUUGGGGUCAUUUAGGUUUUGACUGCCUCCUAACACCUCACCUAAUCACAAGUUUUUAUGCUUACAAAUCAAAUAUCGUUCUUCAUUAUAUUAAAAUCAUUUUAAGAUUUCAGAUCCAUCUGCUAAUUAUGAUUAUGAUAACAUUAAUUCACCUGUGCUUCUCAUUUUCGACACACAAGGCAUCUAGGUUUGCAGGAUUUCCUUAUUAGAUGAGAUAAAUGAGUACGCAUGGUUAUGUAUGCAGCAUUCAUUAACCAUGGUAUGUGACAUUUAGAAUUAAGAUAGCAAGCAAACUUUCCCUGCAGCUUGAGUAAAUUGUGAUUUCUUAGCCUCUAUGAGUGGUUCCCAAAUCAAAUUAACAUAGUGAAAUAUACGUAGUCCAGUGAAAGGAAAUGUAAAUUAUAAACUAACAGCACUACACUACUGGUAACACUCGAUACUCUCUAUAUAAUGCAAUGAAAUAUACGUUAUACGUUGCUUGUUCCAAGUCAAAAUUUGUGGCCAAACGUUGGCCUUUUUUCAUUUUCCCUAAGAUUAAUGCUCACCUGGGAUAGGCACUACAUGAUUUAUCUGCUCUUUUACUGUAAAGUUGCUUUGUGUAUGAGUUACACCUCCCCUGCACACCCUCAACAUUUGUUGCUCUGUUUUCCUUGUGUCCAGACGAGGAUAUUAAGUGGGGGCUGACAAAACGACUGCUAGCCAAGGAUUUACAAGGUCCUGGUUUGACGCUUCCGCGAAAGUAUUUUUGAAAAUAUACACAUAGAGAUUGCGCGUUCGGUGCAAUGCAACAAUGUGAGCCAUUCUGAAGUUUUUAAUUUCAGAUUAAUGAAUGCUACAAAAUUCUAAGAAGGGCCGUUUCCAAAUAUUUGAGUUCAUUUAUCCGAACAUCGGAUAAGUAAUGAUCAUAGAUUAUUAUUAUUAUCUGACGUUCUUAUAAUGGUUGGCAUUAUAAGAGGGUAUAUGCUUCUUUCUCUAGCCCCUCCUUCAAGGGAGGGACAAUGUGAUCUGUAUCGUUAGAAGCUAUUCCAUGUCGUCAUCUUUUGGCUUAAGUCAAUACUAAAAUAUAUGGGCGGGGCCCCUGUCAUUUUAUAUUUCUUCUAGAAGGUUUGUUCUGGAAAUCUUUCACCGAAACAUAUCUUUUUCUUCUCUACGUGAUCCGUGGUUGGAAAGUUAGAAAAAUGGGUCCGUUCACAAGCCACCGAGUUGAAAAGUUGGAAAAAUGGCAACACCGCCAACCUCUUGUAUUCGAUAGUUAAAUAAAAGGUCACUGGAAGUGAGAUCCCUUUUGGCCUCUUGAUUUUCAUCCCAGCAUCUCUAUGUCCUGAUAAACUAAAAAACUAAAAAAAAAACAGUACGUGGGUUGGUGUUAAGCAUCAAGAGUCAAGACAUGAUAAUGGAGAGAAAGGAUAUUCAAAUUCCAGUUCUGACAACAUGAUUUUCUUUCCUGAACAACCAUGUUAUAUUUGAUCAAGAAAGAGUAGUGCAUGUGGCCAGGAUCAAGACAUACAUUAAUUUCCACAUGAUGAAGACAGUUUCUGAGAGUUUCUUCUAAAGCUCUUGCGCUAGUAGGCUUCAAGUCAAAAUUUCCCAUGUAAACACUGGAUUUUCUUUAAUUGCCACUAAGGAUACAGUUAAAAUUGACUUAAAAUCCUACGUGAUAUAUAUCUUUAACAAAAGUAUAUUGUAUAUAAUAUUUGAAAUAAUGUUGAUUCGUUGUGGAAAUAUGUUUGUAAGGAAAGUUGUUGACAAUUUAAUAUAGUAUAAGAAGAAAAAAGUUAUCAACUAGAGAUGAGUAUGUAAAGUGAGGCUCACGAUUCAACGCGUAAAUAUAAGAUAUUUUAAGGCUCAAUAGUUAUGAUAUCUAUUUUAUUUUUUGUAUCCCAUAUAUUCAAAGAUACAGUAAAAUGAUUUUAUAUAUAUGAACAUAGCCGAUAGUAUCAUGUUAAAACCUUAUAUGACUCUUUGUGCCAAUUGAUUUUUAUCUUUAUUUUGUGUAUUAGUAAUUAGUAUUAAAGUUUUUACUAACAUAAUAAUUGAUAUAAAAGCUUUUUCCAAAAGAGUCAAACAGAGCAAAACACUUAUUAUAAAAAGAAUUUUGAUUGAAGGUGGAGUCAAUUAUUCUUUAUUCAACAUGUGAUGCAUACAGCGGGUACUUCAUAACUAAAGUAUAUAAGUGCAACAUCUCUUAUACAUUCUCAUUCAAUCUCGAAAGUGGAAAAUUUUAAAAGAUUAAAUGGUUCAAAUUUUCCGUGCAUAAAGGGGAUCAUGUCACAUAACCAAACCAUGGCAUACCAAAGCCAUGAUAUGGACUAAGAAUUUUGUUAAAAUAAGUUUCUUAUUAGGGCACAUUAUGUGACUAUUUAUGACAUAUCAAAGGAGUCAAGUGCAUCAAUAAAGACAUAGAAAAUUCAUGCAUCACAUGUACCACUAAGAGAAAAUUGACUUGAUAGAGUUUAGUCCAAAUAGGAGAUUGUUAAAAGGUGCAUCAAAUUCUUGAUUGAUAUAUAUUUUUUUUAUUAGAAAGGUUAUUAUAUAGAUAUUUCAAUAGACUAUUAAUCCUUUGUAAAAAUAGUUAUAUAAUGAGGAUGGUGAUUAAAAAUAUCUCUAUCAAUAUUUUGGAUUAUAAAAAGAAAAAAAAUAUGAGAAAAUGAUAAACAUAUAAAACUUGUACAAGUAGAUAGAGAUGUGAUGAAAGACACUUGAUGAAUGGAGGCCUUGUAUUUCAAGAUGUAAAUAUAUGGAGCAAAACUCUUAAUUAUAUGAUCAAAUGAUUCUCUCAUAUUCAUGAACAUAAGCAGGAUUGGGGAACCAUGAUAGAAUCUUAUAUGCCUCUCCAUGUAGAUUGAUCGAUGUUUAUCUUCAUAUUUUACACCAAUGAAUGACAUUGAAACUCUGAUUGAUAAAAGGGAAAAAGCAUGGCCUCCACCACAAGAAAAACAAGUAACCUCGGUCUAAAUCACUAGUCUACACCCCGAAGAGAGAACUAGCCAAACCUACUAAAAGAGAAACUUACCAAUUUAGAAAGAAAUCUUCCAUGAUAAAGGGCCCCUAAAAGUCCAAUUCAGUCAGGUUGUGAACAAAAACACCUUCAUGUCAAAACAGGAAUAGGUACCACCAAAAUGUAAAGGGAAAGAUGUAAACCAAGUCGAACUUUGGUAAACAAUGGUAAAGAUAGCAUGAUAGCUAAAAGCACUAAAGCUGUGCUUGGUAUGCAAAAAUGAAAAGUGGAAAUCAGCGUCUUAUUCUUUUUCUCCUUUAUUCACAUAUUAGGAUAACUAAUAUCUAAUGUUUUUUUUAUGUCUCAAAUUCUAUUCCAUGUUAUGGUAAACUUUCAUCUUGUUUAAGUGGAAGAGUAGGAUCACUUUUGUCUGGUUUGGGCUCAAGACGAUAAGCCUAUAGAGACUUCAUAUUGGGUUGAAUUGAUGCCCUUGAUCCGAUCAGUUCGUUAGAAAAAUCUGAAUUAUUAUAAGCAUUUAGAUAAAAUAAAUAAAUAAAUGUGAAACAGAGACUAUUCUCUGCACAACCUUGACCCUAGUUACUCAGUUUCACUGCUCACGGGACUAACCUCUCCAUUCAGUCGAAAUGAAUUGUAAUUUCUUUACUGGUAGCAGUAGUACUUUUCAUAGCAAAGAUAAUAGUAAAUAUGAAAUAUAAAUAUAUAGAAGGAAAUCUGGAUUGUAGAUAGCACCAUAAGUAACACUCAAUAUUUACUACAUAAUAAAAGAGAUAGUGUUACAAAGGUAGAGAAACCUACAAUGAGUACUCAUCACCAUUCUCAAACAGAAACAUAGCAGUGACUUAUACAUAGAACCUAUAGGCUCGCAGGGAAAGAGUAACAUGAUAAGUGCACAGCGGGUAGCAGCUCUUAUUUUACGUAUUACUCAAAAUCUCAAACUAACCAAAGUCACUCAGUUGGGAUGGGUAGGAGAUGGUGGUUUGUGGGGUGGCUUCUGGGUAGGAGCUGGUGGCUUCUUUGUUGGAGUUGAAGGAGGCGUAAUCUUCUGAGGUGGCUUGUAUGAGUCUUUGGCACUCUCUGCAGGAGGGUGCCCAGGGUUGUGACCGGAAGGAGGUGGCUUCUGUCCCUUUGGUGGUUUGCCUAAUGGGCUUGGUGGCUUGUGCUCCGGGAGUUGUUUCUCUCCCUCGAGUAGGUUUCGAGUUUUGUCAGAUGGCUUGUGUUCUGGUGGUGGCUUCUCUCCCUGGGGUGGUUUGCCGAAUGGGCUUGGUGGCUUGUGUUCGGGGAGUGGCUUCUCUCCCUUGGCAGGUUCAGUUGGUGGCUGGUGCUCCGUAGGUGGUUUCUUCACCGCCGGCUUCUCUCCCUGGAGAAGGUUACGAGUUUUGUCAGAUGGCUUCUGUUCUGGUGGCGGCUUCUCUCCCUGGGGUGGUUUGCCAAAUGGGCUUGGUGGCUUGUGUUCGGGAACUGGCUUCUCUCCCUUGGCAGGUUCAGUUAGUGGCUGGUGUUCCGUAGGUGGUUUCUUCACCGGCGGCUUGUGCUCCGGAAGCGGCUUCUCUACCUGGAGAAGCUUACGAGUUUUGUCAGAUGGCUUGUGUUGUGGUGGUGGCUUCUCUCCCUGGGGUGGUUUGCCAAAUGGACUUGGUGGCUUGUGUUCGGGGAGUGGCUUCUCUCCAUUGGGAGGUUUAGUUGGUGGUUGGUGUUCCGUAGGUGGUUUCUGAAGUGGGGGAUGCUUGGGGUAGUCAGCAAGAGACGAGGUAGUGAGAACCACCAGUCCCAGCAGCAAUACUAGCAAGGAUGUGGAAGACAUCUUUGAGUUCAGGCUGAGAUUUGUGCAAGGCUAGAAGAAUUAGGUGGCCUUUUAUAGCGGGCUGGACCCAACAACCAAAUGACACGUAUCAUGAUACACAUAUGUGUUAUAAGAUCCUUGUGGGUCCUACAGAAGUUGAAAACUUUGACAAUUGAGGUGUGAUUACAACUUUUGUCCCUAUUGCUUUCUCGUCAGCCGUUUUGCAAGAUUUUUGACAGGAGGACGGUAGUUUAAAAUAAUAAUUUCUAAAGUACUUUUGUGAAAAAAAAUAAUUCCAAACGUGGAUUUUAUCAAGUAAAAAAAACAAAAAAAAGUUAUUUUCUUUUAAAAUCUUUUCUUCAUGAUUCAUAUACCAAAAAAAGAAUUGUUUUCUGUAGGUAAAAUUUUUAAAAUUCAUUUUUAAAAAAAAAAAAUUACACACUAAAAUUAUCUCUUCAAGAAAAUAUUUUUUAAAUUUUAAAUAAUUAUUAAUUUAUAAUUAAUUUUUUAUUAAUUAUUUAUUAAAUUUAUAUGUGAAAAAUGCAUUUAUAAAAAACAAAUUUUUUAUUAAUUUAUUAAAUAAUUAUUUACAAAAUAAAUAAUUUUGCUUUAUUUUAAUUUUAAAAUUAAUUUUAUUAUAUAAAUUUUAAAAUUAAAAAUAUUAAUAUUUAAUUUAAAAUUUAACUAUAAAAGGAAUAAAAUAUAGAAAAAUAAAUUAAUUUAUUAUUCAAUAAAUUAAUUUUCAAUAAAAUUUUCAGCAUUAAGAGAUAAAUUUUUAAGUAUUAAUCAAUUUAAAAAAUAAUAAUAAUCAUUUGUAUACUAAGAUAUUUUAUUUAGUAAUUAUGAAUGAUAAACAACUAAAGUAAUUUGAAAAAAUAAUAAAAUAUUUAAAAAUAAUAAUUUAAUACACUUAAAAUUAGAAAUGAUUAACUAUUUUUUAUUAAGAAAAAAUUGAAGAAAUAUUUUGUUAUUUAAAAUUUUUUAUUUGUUUUCAAUUUUAAAUGUUAUAGGUUUCAAGAAAAUUGAUCAAAUAAAAAUUAAGAAGUCAUUUUUUCAAAAACUAUAUAUCUAAAUAAAAGCCUUGAAAUUCAAAUACACAAUAUCAUAAAUAUAAACACCAAGUCAAUCCUUAAUUAUCAAAUGUUUUUAAUAUUAAAGAAUCAAAAUCACCUACUAUCAUGAUAAUAAGAAAACCAAUAAUAUUGUUCAUAUAAAUACUAAAAAGCUAACAAAUAUCCCAAACAAUUAAUAAAGUAUCAAACAUGAUAAAAAGUCAAUUAUUAUCAUGAAUGCAAAAAAUCAAUAAUUUUGUUUAUAUGAACCAUCAACAAAGAAAAAAAAAAUCAAUAUCUAAAUAUUAAACAUAAUUUAUAUUUUUAUAAAUAUUAUUGUUGAUAAAUAUCUUAAUAAUUAUAAUUUUUUAUAUAUUAAAUUUAGUAAAUAAAAUUAAUUAAUUUUAUAAUAUAAGAUAUAUAUAAUAAUUAAGAGACUAUUUGUCCCAAACAAUUUAUUUAUUUUUUUUUUAGGAAAUUGUCUCUUCAAGAGACGACUUCUCCCAACAUUUUUAAAAAAAAAAAAAAAAACAUCUAUUCAAAAGACGAUUUCUCCUCAUUUUUUAAAAAUGAAUUUUAGAAAUCAUAUUUUCAAAAAUGAAUUUUAGAAAUCAUAUUUUCAAAAGACGAUUUUUUUUUAUAUAAAUUAUUUUUUAAAAUGACGAUUUUAAAAGGAAAUAACGAUCUCUCUCCUACUUGGCAAAAACUAUGGUAAAUUUGGAAUUAUUUCUUCCACAACCAUAGUUUAAGAAUUAUUUUUUUAUACUUUCGUAGACUUAUCAAAAAUCCCUAUUUUGCAUGUCUCAUUUGGCAUGACUUUCUUACCUAAACAAGCAUAUAUAUAUAUAUAUAUAUAUAUAUCACUUUUGUCUGGGUUGAGUCAAUGCCCUUAACUAAUUUGUUCAUUUGAAUAGUCUAAAUUAUUAUAAGCUUUUAGUUAAGAAAAAUGUGAAACAUAAAUUACACCUCUCGGCACAACUUCGACACUGGUUACUCUGUUUCAGUUUAUUCACACAAGAUUAUUGGUUCUAGGGUUUAUUUGGUUUUGGUUUGAUUCUAAUUGCUAAACUUUCUCAAGGAAGAUGUUAUAUAGGGAGUGAGAAACCUUCACUCCUGGCUACCUCCAAGAGAAGAGCAAGUGGUCUGAAUCAAAGAUAUACUGCUCACUUUUUCUUCUUCUAAGGACAGCUAUGACCUUGCUUUAAAAUGUUCGAAUAGCCUAAUGCAACCUCCCAUUUCUCAAGUCAGCUGAUGAUGUAAGUCACCUUGGCUUUCCACAUUCAUACGGUGAGGACGUUUGUGGGUGUAAUUCUCUUAACAGUUUUCAUUUUAUAUGGAAAAAUUCAUAAUUAAGGGUAAUUACUGAUUCCAUUUGACAGUGACCAAGUUUAAAAUAUUAACUCAUGUAUUAAAUGCACAUUAAAAAAUCAUGGAAUAAAUAUAUUUACUAAUAUAUAGUUCUUUUGUCAUGUUCUGUCACAGAAGCAUCGAACUUUCCCUAGAAAUUUUUGCAUGGUAUUCUGCUUAUGAUUUUGAAAACUCUAGGCACCUAAGGCCACUGAUUGCAUGGUUGGAUGAGGAGCUGCAUGAGAUUAUGUAUCCUGUUGCUCCUUAACUACAAAUAUCAGUUUUAAGUAGCAUCUCCAUGUGACAUUUUCCUGAUGCAAUUUCGCUGUCCACCAACAAAUGUCUCCAUGCAGCUAGAUGAAUUGUAAUUUCUUUGUUGUUAUCAACAGCUUUAAUUAAUCUUGAUAUAUAUAUAACUUAGUAGAAGUAAUUAAUCUAGAUUGUAGUUGCACUAAGAUAAUAGGCAAUAUUAUAACAGUGCCACAAUGCUCAUCGCCAAAUAGAAAGGUAGAAAAACUACAAUGAGUAACUCACACAACAUUCUCAAACAGGACAUAGCGGCGACUGAUACAUAGAACACUAUUGGCACUCAGGAAAUGAUAAGAUCAGUGCCCAGCAGGCAGCACGUCUUAUUUUACAUACUACUUAAAACUAACCAAAGUCAUUCAGUUGGGAUGGGUGGGAGAUGGUGGUUUGUGCGGUGGCUUCUUUCCUGGAACUGGUGGUUUUUUUGUUGGAGUUGAAGGAGGCUUAAUCGUCUGAGGUGGCUUGUAUGAGUCUUCAGCACUCUCUGCAAGAGGGUGCCCAGGGUUGUGACCAUAAUGAGGUGGCUUCUCUCCCUUAGGUGGUUUGCCAAGUGGGCUGGCUGGCUUGUGCUCCGGGAGCGGCUUCUCUCCCUUAGGUGGUUUGCCAAAUGGGCUUGCUGGCUUGUGCUCUGGGAGCGGCUUCUCUCCCCCAAGAAGUUUGCGGGUUUUGUCAGAUGGCUUGUGUUCUGGUGGUGGCUUCUCUCCUUGGGGUGGUUUGCCAAAUGGACUUGGUGGCUUGUGUUCGGGGAGUGGCUCCUCUCCCUUGGGAGGUUUAGUUGGUGGCUGGUGUUCCGUAGGUGGUUUCUCAACCGGGGGCUGGUGCUCCGUAGGUGGUUUAUGAACUGGGGGAUGCUUGGGGUAGUCAGCAAGAGACGGGGUGGUGAGAACCACCAGUCCCAGCAGCAACACUAGCAAGUAUGUGGAUGACAUCUUUGAGUUCAGGCUGAGAUUUGUGCAAGACUAGAAGAAUUAGGUGGCCUUUUAUAGCUGGCUGCACCCAACACUCACAUGACACGUAUCACGGUGACACAUGUGCUAUGGGAUCCAUUUGGGUCCUACAGAAGUUGAAAACUUUUGACUAUUGAGGUGUGAUCACAACUUUUGUCCCUAUUGCUUUCUCCGCAACCGUUUUACAUGUUUCCUUUGUGGUGUUUAAUAGUGUUUUUUUCCUUAAUUCUAAAUAAACCUUAAUACUUAAUAAUGUUAAAUAUUAGGUUAUUUAUUUUUAUAAUAUUUUAUUUAUAUUAAGUAUUAAAAAGUAAAGAAAAAUCAAUAUAUUUAUUUUUCUAUUUAGAAAAAACUAUAUAUUUUUAAUUUUUUUAUUUAAUAAAAAAUUUAUAAUAAAUCAUGAAAAAAUAGAAAAACAAACAACCUAAAUUUUAAAAAUAAAUUGUUUUUAGUAAAAACCCAAAAAAACAAACACCACCUUAACUAAACAAAUAUAUAUUAUAUUUAGUUAAGAAAGAGUAAAGUGUAUAUGGCUCAAAUCAAGGAAGAGAAACAGAAUAAGUGGAAGACAAUCAAUUGUGAUAAACAGAUAUAUUACAUGCAUGUAGUACUAGUGACUUUAUCAUUUACUUUUAUACAAUAGAUCAUCACACUCUUUCUUCUAAAUAUUUUGGAGGAUAAUGGUACAUGUUGCUUGUUGCCAAGUCAAAAUUGGUGGCAAAAAUCGGCAUGAUACGAAAGGAUUGGUGAAAAGAUUCACAUAGAUGGUGCUUUGUGCAAUGCAGUCUUGCUCUAAUUCAACAGAGUGGACCAUGGUGAUGUAUUUUAAAUUUUAAAUUUUAAAUUAAUGCAUGCUUCAAAGUUUUAACUAGAUGUCACUUCCAUGGAUUUUUGUUCAUUUAAUUGAGAACAGGAUAGGCUAUCAAACUUGAAGUAAUAUAAAAAUCCCUUCAUUACUGUAACUAAUGAAAGAUCAUUAUCUGCGCUUGGUAUUUUGCCAAGGUAUUUGCUGCUCUUUCUAGCCCUAUCUUACAGUUAAGGACAAUGUGAUCUAGUUAACCUUAGAAGCUAUUCCAUGUCAUAUACAAGAGAUCAAGCACAUUAUCUUUGGGCUCAGUUCAAAACUAUAAUAUAUGGGUGGGGUGGGGGCCUAUACCAUUUGCAUAUCACCACUAUUGGUUUAGUUUGGAAGGUUUCUUCUGGAAGAUUGCUUUCUGGAAACAUUUCAAAGAAAUAUAUCUUUUUGUUCUCUUGGUGACGAGCAGCGGCAAUCAAGUCUGUUGACAAACAACCGAGUUGAAAAGUUUGAAAAUUGGUCACAGCCCACGUCCAUGGUUAAGGAAAAGGUCACUGGAAGUGAUCCCUUCUGGGCCUGUUGGAAGCAGGGGAGGUUAACACACCAAGCAACAAAGAACAGAGAUAUGCUGCUACUGAUCUAUAUUUUUUAUUUGAUCAUAAGGCUAAAUUUAUACAGAUUGUGUAACAGAUAUGACCUCAAAAAAAAGCAUCAAAUCAAGCUACUUGUUGAACAAACAACUACCUUCUACAAAAUAACAUCAAAAUUUAACUUAAAAGCAAAAACAUAAAAAUAGCAACAGCAAAAAUAGAAACAUAAAAAUAGCUUCAGCAUUCUAGUAAUCUCGUUGACUUCAAUUGCAUGUGGUUGACGAUUUCAGCCUUUUCCUCAGCAGCUACUAAGGCAUAACUCUCAACACUCCUCCUUGACUUAGGAGGUGCAAACUCCAAGUCUUUCUCAUAGAAACUCAAAUCUUAUUUUAGGAAGAGCUUUAGUCAGAAUAUCUACAUUUUGACUGUCUGUAUUGCAGUAGACUAGUUGUAUAUCUCCUUCUUUCUGUACUUCCCUCAAAAAUUACAAUUUAAUCUUGAAGUGCUUUGUUUUACCAUGAAAAACUGGAUCAUUUGCAAUAGAUAUAGUGGCCUGGUUGUCUACAAACACCUUUGUACUCACUUCUUGCUUCAUAUCCAAAUCUGUCAGCAACUUUCCAAGCCAUAAGGCUUGAUUUACAGCUGUAACAGCAGCAAUAUACUCUGCCUCAGCUGUGGAUUGAGCCACGACUUCUUGCUUCCUUGAACUCCAUGAAAAAACACCAGAACCAAAACUAAAACAAUAGCCUGAAGUACUUCUCAUAUCGUCAACACAACCAGCCCAAUCACUAUCAGAAAAUCCAUGAAAAUUGAAACUUUGAACUUGACUGAACUUAAUGCCAUAAUCCACAGUGCCUUUAACAUUUCUUAUCACACGCUUUGCUGCCUGGAAAUGAAUUUCACUAGCACAAUGCAUGUAUCUCGAAAGUAGACUUACAGCAUGCAUUAUAUCGAGUCUUGUUGCAGUCAAGUACAUUAAGCAUCCAAUCAUGCUUCGAUAAAGUCCUUCAUCUACCUUUUUAGCACCGUCCUCCUUACAGAACUUCUCUUUCUGGUUCAUAGGGGUAGAUGUAGGUUUGCAUUCCUCCAUUUUGAAUUUCUUCAUAAUUUCUUUGGCAUAUUUUUGUUGGCAGAUGAAAAUCUCAUUCUGCUUCUGGUGUACUUCCAUUCCCAAGAAGUAAGACAUCUCAUCUAGGUCUGUCAUCUCAAAAACCUGCUCCAUUUCAGCCUUGAAUUUGUUCACAAACCCUGCAUUACUUCCUGUUACAAGCAAAUCAUCAACAUAUAGAGAAACAAUUAAUAUAUCUUCUUCAAUCUUCUUAAUGUAGAGUGUAAAUUCACUCAAGCUCUUGUGAAAGCCUAAAGUUAGCAGGUGAGUGUCAAUCCUGCUGUACCAAGCUCUAGGGGCUUGUCUUAACCCAUACAAGGCCUUCUUAAGAAGGUAUACUUUUUCUUCUUUUCCUUUGAUAGCAAAACCUUCUGGUUGUUCGACAAAAAUCUCUUCCUCUAAGUAGCCAUUCAAAAAUGCUGACUUCACAUCUAGUUGAUAAAUCUUCCAUUUUCUUUGAGCUACAAGAGCCAACAACAUCCUGAUUGUAUCCAAACGAGCUACUGGUGCAAAGGUUUCCGAAAAGUCAACACCAAACAUUUGUGCAUACCCUUUGACAACCAGCCUUGCUUUAUGUUUGUUUAUAGAACCAUCAGAGUUGAGUUUGGUUCUGUAAACCCACUUAACCCCAAUAGGUUUUUUGUGUGAAGGUCUAUCUACUAGCUCCCAAGUGUUGUUCUUGUCAAUCAUAUCUAGCUCCUCCUGCAUUGCAACCCUCCAUCUUUUAUUUUCAGCAGCUUCAACAAACCCUGCAAGUUCAAGAACAGCUAUAUUACACCUUUGAUAAAUAUCAAAAAGUGUCAUGAAACCUCUAACUGGAAGUUCAUCAACAUCUUCAUCAAUAUAUUGCUGAUUCUGCUCAUCCCAACUCCAUUUCUCCGUUUCCAAAAACUUAACAUCUCUACUUACCACAAUUUUACUAUUUUGUGGCAAGUAGAUUCUGUAAGCUUUUGAGGUGCUGUUGUAUCCAAUGAAAAUUCCUGGUUCUGACUUUUUAUCUAGCUUGUCUCUUUUCACCUGAGGAACAUAAGAGAAACACAAGCAACCAAAGGUCUUUAAAUUCAUUAGCAUAGGCUUAUAAGCAAACCAGGCCUCAAAAGGUGUCUGUUUCUGCAAUGCUUUUGUUGGUAGUCUAUUUAGCAAAAAUACUACUGUAUUUGCAGCUUCAACCCAAAAACUUUUUGGCAGCUCUUUCUCAUGCAAAAGACAUCUUGUCAUUGAUUACUACUCAAAAAGUGCUAUUUGAUAGCCUUUAAUUAAUCCUUUUUAACACUUUUGAGUAGUAGUUUAGGCCUUUUAACUCAAUUGGCAUGUUAAGGAUCCUUUAAAGCAAUUUUGAUCACUUUGUGCAAGUUUUGGUGUUUUUGUUAGUAUUUCGAUCACCAAAGCAAGUCAAGAAUGAGGAGAGCUAUGAGGAAUCUUGGGCAAAGCUUAGAAUUCAAUUGCCAAGAGUGAAUCCGGAUUGCAAGGAGAAAAAGCAAAGAGGAUCAGUCAUGGAGCAUAUUCUUGAUGACAGUCGUAGCAGCCACUUUUGGAUCACUUUCUGAAGUCCAAAUGAUGCAAGCUAUAUACCAUUUCAAAGCUCAGGAAGUCAACAAUCCAAUGCUUCAAACGGUGUGCGAUUCGGAAUUGAAACGAAGAAGUUGCAGCCAUUACAAGCCAGACACUCUAAAGUGUUGCGGAAUCAGCCAUGUGUUGCGAGAAUUUCGCAGCACUUUUGUACAGUAAGGUGUUUCUCCUUCUAACGAUGCACGAACCAUGCCGCGAGAAGGGAGCUGGAAACUUCAAGAUGGAAGCCAACUUUGCAGCCUAGUGAAGAUAGCUCGGUCUUGCAAGAUAAUUUCGCAGCCCUCUUGGGUGUCUGCGAAAUUUCGCAGGCCUCAUUUUUCACCUGCGAAAUGGCUCUUGAAGCCUCCCGAAGCUUGCUACCGACAUUGGGAGAUAUUUUCCAUUAGAUUUUUGUUGUCUAAAUCCCAAAAUACUCCUUGUAAACCACCAAUUACAUGAUUCCUUAGUUUUUAAGUUAGUAAAAAGACCAAAUAUCUUUGUAACAAUUAGUUUUAUAUUUUGUUGUUAUAAAUACCUCUCGGGAGCCUGUUCUCAGGGAGGAGUUCCUUCUGUAAACGUUUGGUAAGCAAGUAAAGUCUAUUUUCUUUCUACUGCCUUACCUUCUCACUUUGUAUUUUCAUUUUAUUUCUAAGUUAUGAAUUCUCUGAGGAGUUUUCCCCAAAGAAUGAGUAACUAAACCUCCAAUUCCUUGGAGCUAAGGUUGCCGGGGAAGGUUCCAAGUGCAAGAAUGCAAAGCUCUGUGGUUUUAGCUAGUAAUGAAGAGGAAGUGAAAUCCUUUAGUGAUUUCAAUGUUUUUAGUUAACUUAAAACACUUUGGAGUCACCUGGGCCAACACUUGGUAAGGCAAGUGAUUUCCAACCAUGGAAAUGCACUAGUUUACCCCUUGCGAGCCUCUGGUAGGUGACUUCAAGGUAGGAUUUUCUGGAAUUACCAACACUUGGUAAGCUUUUGGACUCCUAGGAGACAUCCAUUAGUUAUCUCUUGCGAGUUUGUGAAGGGAAUCCAAGGUUAAAGAUCACCUUGAAUGGUAAGUGCUCGUGAGAGGCAUGAACCAUUGCAAGUUGUAUCAGUGAGAGAAUUAAAGUGAAAUCUAAUUGAAGGAGUCUUUGUACAUCACCGGUUAGAGAAUUGACUAUAAGUUGAAUCUCUAAUGCGAGGAAAUGAACCAACUGACCAGAGCCGUGUCUUUUGCAUGAGGAACCACCCCAGUGAACCUAAAUCUCCAAGGAAUGUUUUUUUCUUCCUAAAUUAUUCCAAACUUCUGUUAAGUUAGUUAGUUUAAAUCUCAACCUUUACAAAUCAAAGUUUGUGUUUUAUUCCUUAAGCUAACCGUGAAAUGAAACAAGACCAAUUCACUUGGAAUUGGUAUCAUUGAUUGCCUGCAAAUCAUUCCCAGUGAACGAUCCUAGAGCCACUAUACUAUAGUAGCUUUGUAUUUGCUACCCUAGUGUAUGGUGUUAUAGGUAUAAAUUUUGUUGAUCACUUCCUCAAUCAAGGAGCACCAGCUGAACACAAAUCAGCUGAGACACCAAUUAGGCAUGAGUCAAAUGGCGCCGUUGCCGGGGAAUGAAUGUCAAGUUCAUUGUGAUACCAUUGUUGAGCACUUGUGAUUUUCAUCACAAGUUGGUAAAGUUUCUUUCACUUUACUAAUUUUCAUUCUUUCUUUGUUUAUUUACAAUCUAAGUUUAUCUUUUUAAAUUUUAGUCUAGUUUAAUUUUGUUGUUGUAGCCCUGUUUUUCUUGUUGUCCUCUGUUUUCAUUUUUUUUUUCAGGUAGAUACUAGUUGUGUAUGCCCAAGUGGAUACGAGACAUAGGAGGUAGGCUUGUUAAGUGUGAUACACCUCAGAAAGGAGAAUUUGAAGUAAUCUUGAAUAUCAUGGAGGCUGCACCUGAAGAUCAGCAUAGUCACCAAGGUCGUCAAGACAAUCUCAAUGAAUUCAGAUCAAUGAGGGACCGUAUGCAUCCACCUCGUAUGAGUACACCAUCAUGUAUAGUGCCCCCUACAGAGCAGCUAGUGAUCAGACCAUAUCUUGUUCCACUUCUACCAACUUUCCAUGGGAUGGAAAGUGAGAAUCCGUAUGCACACAUCAAGGAAUUUGAAGAUGUUUGUAAUACAUUCCAAGAAGGAGGAGCUUCAAUUGACUUGAUGAGGCUUAAGUUAUUUCCUUUUACUUUAAAGGAUAAGGCCAAAAUUUGGCUUAAUUCUUUAAGGCCAAGGAGUAUCCGCUCUUGGACUGAUUUACAAGCUGAGUUCCUUAAGAAAUUUUUUCCUACUCAUAGAACAAAUGGCUUGAAAAGGCAAAUUUCAAACUUCUCAGCUAAAGAGAAUGAGAAAUUCUAUGAGUGUUGGGAAAGAUACAUGGAAGCUAUAAAUGCUUGUCCUCACCAUGGCUUUGAUACUUGGCUAUUGGUGAGCUAUUUUUAUGAUGGUAUGUCCUCCUCAAUGAAGCAACUCCUCGAGACAAUGUGUGGAGGAGAUUUCAUGAGCAAAAAUCCAGAGGAAGCUAUGGAUUUCUUGAGCUAUGUAGCUGAUGUUUCAAGGGGAUGGGAUGAACCAACUAAAGGAGAAGUGGGAAAGAUGAAGUCUCAGUUGAAUGCUUACAAUGCAAAGGCUGGGAUGUAUAAUUUGAAAGAAGAUGAUGACAUGAAAGCAAAGUUGGCAGCUAUGACAAGAAGAUUGGAGGAGCUGGAGCUGAAAAGAAUGCAUGAAGUGCAAGCUGUUGCUGAAGCACCAGUGCAAGUGAAGCUGUGUCCCAAUUGUCAAUCAUUUGAACAUUUGGUGGAGGAGUGCCCUGCAAUUUCAGUUGAAAGGGAAAUGUAUAGAGAUCAAGCAAAUGUUGUUGGACAAUUUAGGCCCAAUAACAAUGCUCCUUAUGGAAAUACCUACAAUUCAAGUUGGAGGAAUCAUCCAAAUUUCUCAUAGAAGGCCAGAGCAACUCAAUACCAACAGCCGGAUCCACCAUCUCAGCAAUCUUCAAGUAUUGAACAAAUAAUAGCCAAUCUCAGCAAGGUAGUGGGAGAUUUUGUGGGAAAGCAAGAAGCCACCAAUGCUCGAGUUGAUCAAAGAAUGGAUAGAAUGGAGAGUGUGUUGAACAAAAGAAUGGAUGGAAUGCAAAAUGAUAUGAACCAAAAGUUUGAUAACAUCCAAUAUUCAAUUUCAAGGCUUACAAAUUUGAAUACACUGCAAGAAAAAGGAAGAUUUCCUUCUCAACCUAACCAAAAUCCCAAAGGUGUCCAUGAAGUGGAAAGCCAUGAGGGAGAAUCAUCACAGGUGAAAGAUGUGAAAGCUUUGAUCACUCUAAGGAGUGGUAAGAAAAUUGAGCAGCCAACACCCAUGCCACAUGUUGAGAAAGAAGAAGGGAUAAAGAAAGGAAAGGAAAUAGAAGAUAAAGACAGUGAGAUCAGUGAAGAAAAGAAGGACUCUGAUUCAACAAUCAAAGCAAUUCCAGAGAAAGAGCUUCUGAAGGAAGAAAUGCUGAAGAAAUCAACUUUUCCACCUUUUCCUCAAGCAUUACAGGGGAAAAAGGGGGUUAGAAAUGCAGCUGAAAUCCUUGAAGUCUUAAGACAAGUAAAAGUUAAUAUUCCACUGCUGGAUAUGAUCAAACAAGUUCCAACGUAUGCAAAAUUCCUAAAGGACUUGUGUACUAUCAAAAGAGGGGUUGACUGUAAACAAGAAAGCCUUCUUGACUGAGCAAGUAAGUGCAAUCUUACAAUGCAAGUCUCCUUUGAAGUACAAAGACCCUGGAAGUCCUACCAUUUCAGUCAUGAUUGGAGGAAAGGUAGUGGAGAAAGCCUUGCUAGACUUGGGAGCAAGUGUGAAUUUGCUUCCAUACUCUGUCUACAAGCAACUGGGACUUGGAGAGUUGAAGCCAACAGCAAUCACUUUAUCUUUGGCAGAUAGAUCAGUGAAAAUUCCAAGAGGAGUAAUUGAGGAUGUAUUGGUUCAAGUGGAUAAUUUCUACUAUCCAGUAGAUUUUGUUGUUCUUGAUACUGAUCCAACUGUAAAGGAAGCUAAUUUAGUUCCUAUCAUCCUUGGAAGGCCAUUUCUUGCAACUUCAAAUGCAAUCAUCAACUGUAGAAAUGGGCUUAUGCAACUCACUUUUGGUAACAUGACACUGGAUCUCAAUAUUUUCUAUAUGUCUAAAAAGCAAAUCACUCCUGAGGAAGAAGAAGGUCCAGAAGAGCUAUGUAUUAUUGAUACUUUGGUGGAGGAGCACUGCAAUCAGCAUAUGCAAGAUAAGUUGAAUGAAAGUCUUGUGGAUAUUGAGGAAGGUUUUUCUGAAUCUCCUAUUGGGCUUGCUACUCUACAAAGUUGGAGAAAGAUAGAAGGAAUUCUACCUUUGUUCAAUGAAAAAGAGGAGGCAACUGUUGAAGAAGAAAUUCCAAAACUCAAUUUGAAGCCUUUACCUGUGGAGCUGAAAUAUACAUAUCUUGAAGCAAAUAAUCAAUGUCCUGUUGUGAUAUCCUCAUCUCUGACCAGUCAUCAAGAGAAUUGUUUAAUGGAAGUUCUCAUGAGGUGUAAGAAGGCAAUAGGAUGGCAAAUAUCUGACUUGAAAGGCAUUAGUCCUUUAGUUUGUACUCAUCAUAUAUAUAUGGAGGAGGAAGCAAAGCCAAUUCGUCAAUUUCAAAGAAGGUUGAAUCCUCAUCUACAAGAGGUGGUGCGAGCUGAGGUGCUGAAGCUACUUCAAGCAGGAAUCAUUUACCCUAUUUCUGAUAGCCCUUGGGUGAGUCCUACUCAAGUGGUACCAAAGAAGUCAGGGAUCACAGUGAUUCAAAAUGAAAAAGGGGAAGAAAUUACUACACGCCUCACUUCAGGUUGGAGGGUGUGUAUUGAUUAUAGAAAGCUGAAUGCUGUCACCAGGAAGGAUCAUUUUCCAUUGCCAUUUAUUGAUCAAGUGCUGGAGAGAGUCUCUGGACAUCCAUUUUAUUGUUUCUUGGAUGGGUAUUCAGGCUAUUUUCAAAUUGAAAUUGAUUUGGCAGAUCAGGAAAAGACCACUUUUACAUGUCCAUUUGGAACAUUUGCUUAUAGAAGAAUGCCUUUUGGUUUAUGCAAUGCACCUGCUACAUUUCAAAGAUGUAUGUUGAGUAUUUUCAGUGAUAUGGUGGAGAGAAUUAUGGAGGUUUUCAUGGAUGACAUCACCGUAUAUGGAGGUACAUUUGAGGAGUGCUUGGUUAAUUUGGAAGCAGUUCUUCAUAGAUGCAUUGAAAAAGAUUUGGUGCUGAACUGGGAGAAAUGCCAUUUUAUGGUACGUCAAGGAAUUGUCCUUGGCCAUAUCAUCUCUGAAAGAGGCAUUGAAGUUGAUAAAGCAAAGGUGGAGCUUAUUGCCAAAUUACCAUCUCCAACAACUGUGAAAGGAGUAAGACAGUUCCUUGGCCAUGCAGGGUUCUAUAGGAGGUUUAUAAAAGGUUUUUCAAGUCUUUCAAAACCUCUUUGUGAGCUGUUAGCUAAGGAUGCUAAGUUUAUAUGGGAUGAAAGGUGUCAGCAUAGCUUUGAUCAACUGAAGAAGUUUUUAACAACAACUCCAAUAGUGAGAGCCCCUAACUGGCAAUUACCUUUUGAACUGAUGUGUGAUGCCAGUGACUUUGCUAUAGGAGCUGUGCUUGGCCAAAGAGAAGAUGGGAAGCCCUAUGUGAUUUACUAUGCAAGUAAAACACUAAAUGAAGCUCAGAGGAACUACACAACUACAGAGAAAGAAUUGUUAGCUGUGGUAUUUGCUUUGGACAAAUUUCGAGCUUAUUUAGUGGGGUCUUUCAUCAUUGUCUUCACUGACCAUUCAGCCUUGAAGUAUUUAUUGACAAAGCAAGAUGCAAAAGCAAGGUUGAUUAGAUGGAUUCUAUUGUUACAAGAGUUCGAUCUUCAAAUCAAAGAUAAGAAAGGAGUGGAGAAUGUAGUAGCUGACCACUUGUCAAGGUUAGUUAUAGCACAUAAUUCCCAUCCCUUGCCUAUCAAUGAUGAUUUUCCUGAAGAAUCACUCAUGUUCCUAGUGAAAACUCCUUGGUAUGCUCAUAUUGCUAAUUAUUUAGUAACUGGGGAAAUUCCAAGUGAGUGGAAUGCACAGGACAGGAAGCACUUCUUUGCCAAAAUUCAUGCUUAUUAUUGGGAAGAGCCCUUUCUCUUUAAGUAUUGUGCAGAUCAGAUUAUUAGGAAGUGUGUCCCUGAAGAUGAGCAGCAAGGGAUUCUAUCUCAGUGUCAUGAGAAUGCAUGUGGAGGCCACUUUGCCUCUCAGAAAACAGCCAUGAAGGUAUUACAAUCAGGGUUUACUUGGCCAUCUCUUUUCAAAGAUGCCCACAUCAUGUGUAGAAAUUGUGAUAGAUGCCAAAGGCUUGGAAAGCUAACAAAAAGAAAUCAAAUGCCUAUGAACCCCAUUCUGAUAGUUGAGAUAUUUGAUGUUUAGGGCAUUGACUUCAUGGGACCUUUCCCAAUGUCUUUUGGUAAUUCUUACAUUUUGGUGGGGGUAAAUUAUGUUUCUAAAUGGGUUGAGGCAAUCCCCUGUAAGCAAAAUGAUCACAGGGUGGUUCUCAAGUUUCUUAAAGAGAACAUUUUCUCAAGAUUUGGGGUGCCCAAGGCCAUAAUCAGUGAUGGAGGAGCUCAUUUUUGCAACAAACCUUUUGAAGCUCUGUUAUCCAAGUAUGGAGUGAAGCAUAAGGUAGCCACACCUUAUCAUCCUCAGACAUCCGGGCAAGUUGAGCUAGCUAACAGGGAAAUAAAGAACAUUUUGAUGAAAGUGGUGAAUUCCAACAGAAAAGAUUGGUCUAUUAGGCUUCAUGAUUCAUUGUGGGCAUAUAGAACAGCUUAUAAAACUAUUCUUGGGAUGUCUCCCUAUCGUCUUGUCUAUGGCAAAGCAUGCCAUCUCCCUGUGGAAGUUGAAUACAAAGCUUGGUGGGCAAUAAAGAAGCUGAAUAUGGACUUGAUCAAGGCCGGAGAAAAGAGAUUUCUAGACCUUAAUGAGAUGGAGGAAUUAAGAAAUAAUGCUUAUAUCAAUUCCAAAGUUGCAAAACAGAGGAUGAAGAAGUGGCAUGAUCAACUCAUCUCCAACAAGGAAUUUCAGGAAGGGCAAAAAGUUUUGAUGUAUGACACAAGACUCCAUAUCUUUCCUGGGAAGCUCAAAUCAAGGUGGAUUGGUCCAUUUGUUAUUCACCGAGUAUAUUCCAAUGGAGUGGUGGACUUAUUGAAUUCCAAUGGCAAGGAUAGCUUUAAAGUCAAUGGAUAUCGUCUCAAGCCGUUCAUGGAGUCAUUCAAAUCAGAAAAGGAGGCAAUCAACCUCCUUGAACCUCAAAAAGCCUAAGUGAAAAGGGUUUGCUGGACGUGGCUUUACCACAGUCCAAAAUUUUUGUAAAUUUUGUAAAUUUUCAAGUUGUUUCUAUACUUUUGAUUUUAGUUUUUGAUCUUAAAUCAUGUUUUUAGGUGUGUUUUAAUCGUUUUAAAUGAUCCCAGGUGGAAGAAAUUUCAAGGGGAUUGAAAGAAAAAAAAUCGGGUCGAAAUUGGAGCCGAAACAGAGCAAAAACAGGGGAAAAACAGAGCUCUGCGAAAUUUCGCAGGGUGAAGGAAACCUCUGCGAAAUGAGCAUUUUGUUGCGAAACCAUUCCGCAGCACUGUAGAAGCCUCUGCGAGUGUAUUUCGCAGCUGCGAAAGUGAAUUUGGCACACGAGUGCCACUUCGCAGUACAGUAGCAUCCAUUUGGCAGCUGCGAAACUCAUUGCGAAAUGGAAAAGCGUGAUUUCGCACCAAAAGUCCCAUUCCGCAGGGUAUUUCGCAAUUGCGAAAGUGGUUUUGGCACACGAGUGCCACUCCGCAGCACAGUAACAUCAAUUUCGCAGCUGCGAAACUCACUGCGAAGUUGCUGCGAAAAUGGCAAGUUGCUGCGAAAUUGGCGUUUAGUUGCGAAACUUAAACUGACCCCUGAGCUUCCGUUUUUCCUAUUUAUACCGGUCAAAAGUGCUGCGAAAAGGGUUUCAAAAAUCAGAGCACCAUUCUCGCAGCCCCUUCAUCUUCUUCGCCAAGCCACGCCGUCCGAACCUCCGGUCGUCUUCUCCGUUUAGCAGCGCCGGCCAAAGAUCGAUAUUCCAAAAUGGCACGAACGCGAGGGGCAAAAUCUUCAUCCCCUUCGAAUCGCAAAAGGAGUCUGCGAAAGGAGCCAAGUCCAGGUUCUGCUCCAGAACCUGCUCCAAAGCCUUCGCCGUCGAGACCACAACCUUCUCCAGUGAAGCCGGCGCCACUAAAGCCGCCGGCAAGACGAUAUUUGACAAGGUCAGGCGGUUGGCCAUUGAAGAAGAAGCCCAGGGUUGAGAGCUCUGAACCAAUUGAUUUGACUGAGCAAUCCCCUGAGCAGUCCCCAAAUCCUUCACCAGUUCAAACUCCAGUGCCGUCACCGGUUCCCUCGCCAAUUCCCUCACCUGAAGCAACUCCAAUUCCAUCGUCGGUACCAUCUCCGGCACCCCAAGAAAAAGCUCAGGAGCCUCAAGCGCCAAUUCCAGAGCCCCAAAUUGCAGCUGAAGCACCUCUGGAAGAAGUGAUCCGAAGGCCAAUGCUGCCCCAGCCCCCAAUCGAAGGAAACUUGGAUUGUCGAACACGGGCAUUCCAUUCUGAGCUUUGCUUCGAUUUAACAGCAUUCAGAGUGAGGCCAGAGCUUGCCCAAUCCUUCCAGCUGCUGAGGAGAUAUCAUAUGGAGCAUCUGCUAGCUCCAAGGGAUUUUUUCUAUCCCCGGGUAGUCACGGACUUCUACCAGACCAUGACAACCAAAGAAGUAAGAAAUCCAACUCUGAUCCAUUUCAUAAUUGAUGGAAGGCAUGGUAUUUUGGGAGCAAGACACAUUGCUGAAGCUCUGCAAAUUCCUUUUGAGCCAACCCAAUUCGACAAUUUUAAAGCUUGGGUAAAUCCUACUGAGUUAGAGAUGGUUCGCACACUAACCAGAGGAGCUGCAAAUCGAUCACACCUGUUGAGGGGGGAGCUACCUCCAGUGAUGUUUUUGAUUGAUGCCUUUUUGAGGCAUAAUAUCUAUCCCCUGCAGCAUUGGACCCAAAGAAGGGGAAUUCUCCUGGAAGCUUUGUACAAGAUGUCAGAAGGAUUCUUCUUUGGGCCCCAUCAUCUUAUCAUGGCAGCCCUUCUAUACUUUGAGGAAAAGGUUCACAAGAAGAAACUUCAAAGAGCAGAUUGCAUUCCACUCCUCUUCCCAAGGCUGCUAUGCCAAGUUUUGGAGCAUCUCGGAUACCCCUCUGAGCCUCAGCAGGAAAGAAAGAGAAUAUGCCGUGAGCCAUUUACUCUUGAUAAAUGGAAUAAUAUGACGGCCUACAAAAUUGAUCAGCCUGGGCAGCCUCAGCCAGCAGCAAGGAGAGCCUCCCCAAGACAUGCACCUGAAGGUAUAACACUUGCUACUCCUGCCAUCCCUCGAGCUUCACCAGCUGCACCUGCUGCAUCACAGCCAUCCACAUCAGCUGAGCCGAGGAUGGCCAUCCCUAUAUCCGAAUAUCGAGAGCUGUGCCGAGCAUUGGAGACUCUUACAGCUUCCCAGAGCAAUCUUGCUCAAGAGUUGGCAGCCAUCAAAGCAUGCCAGGAGCAGAUGUUAGCCUCUCAGGCUCAACAAGCUGCCAUCCUAAGGCAGCUUCAAGUCCAUUUCGAUCUGCCACAAGCUGUAGAGCCCUCCACUGAGACUCCACCAGAGCCACACUCUCAGCCUUCAGAGUCUCUUCCUCCAGAGCCAGAAGCCCCAACUGAUCCACCUACAGAGGAGGCGGAUCCUUCUGCUUAGCACCAUCACCCCACUCAUCAGACAUUAUAUAUAUUUGCUGUUUAUGUUUUUAUGCAUGUUUGUUUUGUUUUAGUUGAAAUGAAAUCCCAGUAUUUUGGUACUAUAUAUGGGAUUCCUUGUGAUUACUUGUCCUUAGCAUUGUACUCGAAUGAAUUGAAAGUAAUACAAGUUGAAUUUUUCUUGUUAAAAGUUAGCAUUAAAAUUCUCCUUAUUUCCUUUUCUCACAUAUUCUAUUCUUUUUGAAACAUGUGGUUUUCCCCAAUCAAUAUUCGAAUUUGAUAUCAGCAUGGAGGUACCACUUCCUCCCUUUUAUUACAGUCACUCAAAUCACAUUGAGGACAAUGCUCAGUUCGGUUGGGGGGUAUGAGGAAGGAAGUAUUCUAAAUCUUUUUGGUAUUGCAAUUAUAUUGGUUAAUUAGUUGUAGAUUUUACGUUUUACUCUUGUUACUCUAUUCUCCAUGAAUUUUGAGGAAAAAUUUUCAAAUUAAACCAAGAGAAAUUGAACUGUUGUUUUUCACUUGACUUAGAGUAUGGAUUAUGCUUACUAAAGUGGUUCAAUUGUUGAAACUUCUACUGAAAUUGAAUUGAGUUCUUCCAUUUUAAGCUAUCCACACACUGUGCACAUUAGUUUCUGAUUAUAAGAUGAAAAGCUAUUUCCCUCUUGACUUAGGAUAAUUUUGGGACUUGGUAUAUUUGACCUCAUUUGAUAAAAAUUGAAACACCCUGCAAAAGGCCAAUGAGCCUUUGAAAUAAAGAAAGAUGUUUGCUUGCCUUGAAACCCGAGCAAGGUCUGAGGGGCAUAUGGUGAAAGCCUUUAAAGCCUGGUGCCCUAAGCCUUAAUUGGUUGGGAGUCACCGACCUCAAUGCUCGUUACAAGGGUGAAUAGGUAGAGCUAGCAUAUGGUAGAUGCUUGGGUAUUAGAAAUUCAUUCUUAAAAGUCCAGGGAAAAAUCCGAGGAGUUAGUGGUUGAAAGAUCCUUAAAACUUGGUGCCCUAAACCUUAAUUGGUUGGGAGUCAUCGAUGGACCCCCAUUACAUGGACAAGUCAGAAAGAGUACCCCAUAAAGCUACUUUAAAAAAAAAAAAAAAAAAAAAAAAAAGAUGAUGAAAGUGUGUUCUUUUCUUAUUGAUUUUGGUCAGAUUGCUAAAGUGUUGAAAAGAGAUAGGUUGGGGGGGGAGACUAGUUUAGCAUAUUAUUCUCGGAAUCUAAGGAACCAAUACACAUAGAUUUUUGUGGAAGAUUGAAGUUUAGUUCUUAGAAAGUGAAAUGAUUUUAAAACUUCAGUUUGCAUAAUGCACUCCCUUGAUUGACAGUGUUUAGCAUAGGUGUUAUGACUCUUGUUGAGAUUUGGGUUUGUAUUUCUUUAAUGAUUCAUGUGAGAAGUAAAUCAUCAUGCCACUUAAGAAUUAUUUUCCUUUCAGCAUGAUGUUGUAAAUUUUAGAUUAGUUUGCUAUUUAUUUUUAUUUUUCUCUCCUUUAUUGCUAAGGGACUAGCAAUAUGUCGGUUGGGGGGAGUGAUUACUACUCAAAAAGUGCUAUUUGAUAGCCUUUAAUUAAUCCUUUUUAACACUUUUGAGUAGUAGUUUAGGCCUUUUAACUCAAUUGGCAUGUUAAGGAUCCUUUAAAGCAAUUUUGAUCACUUUGUGCAAGUUUUGGUGUUUUUGUUAGUAUUUCGAUCACCAAAGCAAGUCAAGAAUGAGGAGAGCUAUGAGGAAUCUUGGGCAAAGCUUAGAAUUCAAUUGCCAAGAGUGAAUCCGGAUUGCAAGGAGAAAAAGCAAAGAGGAUCAGUCAUGGAGCAUAUUCUUGAUGACAGUCGUAGCAGCCACUUUUGGAGCACUUUCUGAAGUCCAAAUGAUGCAAGCUAUAUACCAUUUCAAAGCUCAGGAAGUCAACAAUCCAAUGCUUCAAACGGUGUGCGAUUCGGAAUUGAAACGAAGAAGUUGCAGCCAUUACAAGCCAGACACUCUAAAGUGUUGCGGAAUCAGCCAUGUGUUGCGAGAAUUUCGCAGCACUUUUGUACAGUAAGGUGUUUCUCCUUCUAACGAUGCACGAACCAUGCCGCGAGAAGGGAGCUGGAAACUUCAAGAUGGAAGCCAACUUGGCAGCCUAGUGAAGAUAGCUCGGUCUUGCAAGAUAAUUUCGCAGCCCUCUUGGGUGUCUGCGAAAUUUCGCAGGCCUCAUUUUUCACCUGCGAAAUGGCUCCUGAAGCCUCCCGAAGCUUGCUACCGACAUUGGGAGAUAUUUUCCAUUAGAUUUUUGUUGUCUAAAUCCCAAAAUACUCCUUGUAAACCACCAAUUACAUGAUUCCUUAGUUUUUAAGUUAGUAAAAAGACCAAAUAUCUUUGUAACAAUUAGUUUUAUAUUUUGUUGUUAUAAAUACCUCUCGGGAGCCUGUUCUCAGGGAGGAGUUCCUUCUGUAAACGUUUGGUAAGCAAGUAAAGUCUAUUUUCUUUCUACUGCCUUACCUUCUCACUUUGUAUUUUCAUUUUAUUUCUAAGUUAUGAAUUCUCUGAGGAGUUUUCCCCAAAGAAUGAGUAACUAAACCUCCAAUUCCUUGGAGCUAAGGUUGCCGGGGAAGGUUCCAAGUGCAAGAAUGCAAAGCUCUGUGGUUUUAGCUAGUAAUGAAGAGGAAGUGAAAUCCUUUAGUGAUUUCAAUGUUUUUAGUUAACUUAAAACACUUUGGAGUCACCUGGGCCAACACUUGGUAAGGCAAGUGAUUUCCAACCAUGGAAAUGCACUAGUUUACCCCUUGCGAGCCUCUGGUAGGUGACUUCAAGGUAGGAUUUUCUGGAAUUACCAACACUUGGUAAGCUUUUGGACUCCUAGGAGACAUCCAUUAGUUAUCUCUUGCGAGUUUGUGAAGGGAAUCCAAGGUUAAAGAUCACCUUGAAUGGUAAGUGCUCGUGAGAGGCAUGAACCAUUGCAAGUUGUAUCAGUGAGAGAAUUAAAGUGAAAUCUAAUUGAAGGAGUCUUUGUACAUCACCGGUUAGAGAAUUGACUAUAAGUUGAAUCUCUAAUGCGAGGAAAUGAACCAACUGACCAGAGCCGUGUCUUUUGCAUGAGGAACCACCCCAGUGAACCUAAAUCUCCAAGGAAUGUUUUUUUCUUCCUAAAUUAUUCCAAACUUCUGUUAAGUUAGUUAGUUUAAAUCUCAACCUUUACAAAUCAAAGUUUGUGUUUUAUUCCUUAAGCUAACCGUGAAAUGAAACAAGACCAAUUCACUUGGAAUUGGUAUCAUUGAUUGCCUGCAAAUCAUUCCCAAUGAACGAUCCUAGAGCCACUAUACUAUAGUAGCUUUGUAUUUACUACCCUAGUGUAUGGUGUUAUAGGUAUAAAUUUUGUUGAUCACUUCCUCAAUCAAGGAGCACCAGCUGAACACAAAUCAGCUGAGACACCAAUUAGGCAUGAGUCAGUCAUCUCCAUUAUUGUUUUAUUUUUUCUUUCCACCACCCCAUUUUGUUGUGGGGUGUAUGGUGCAAUGAGCUGGUGAUCUAUGCCUGCAUCUUCACAAAAUUUGUUGAAUUUUUCUGAAGUAUAUUCUGUACCAUUAUUCGACCUUAUAACCUUGAUUCUGUAUUCACUUUGAUUUUCAACCAUGGCCUUAUAUCUCAAAAACACAUCAGCAACCUCAGCUUUGUAAGUGAGAAAAUAAAUCCAACAAAAUCUUGUGAAGUCAUCAAUAAAUGCAAUAUAGUACUUACUCCCUUUCAAAGAUGGUGUCUUUUGAGGUCCACUCACAUCUGUGUGAACCAAUUGUAGUUUCUGUGUUGAUUUCCAUGCUGCUUUUUGAGGAAAAGGAAGUCUUGUUUGCUUCCCAUAUUGAUAGGCUGCACAUAUAGGAAGUUCUUCUUCCAAAUCAGGGAGUCCUUCUACAAUCUAAUUCUUCUUCAUGUAGAGCACGGUAUUGUGGUGGAAAUGCCCUAAUCUUUUAUGCCAAAGCAUUGUAUUGUUCUCGUGUUGUGCAGCAGUAAUUUGCUCAUCUUCUAACAUAUUUAAGGCAAAACUUUUGCCUUUCAUUUUUAUGUUGAACACCUCUUUGCCUUCAGCAUCCUUGAUUAUGCAAUUUUUGUCUUCAAAACAAACUUUAAACCCUUUCUCAACAAGCUGUCCAACACUUAGCAAAUUUUGGUCAAUGUCAGGCACAAACAAAACAUCAGAAAUGAGCUUUAAACCUGUUAGGCUUUCAAUAGCUAAUGUUCUUUUACCUUUUACUGGAAUAUACUCACCAUUUCCUAUUCUAACUUUGGAAAUAGUUGUCCUAUCAAUCUCCCUAAAGCGAUCUUGAUCAUGUCAUGUGGUUUGUGCAACCACUGUCCACGAGCCAGCUUUCAGAGGUGCUACCGUUUGCAAAACAUGUUGCUGAAAAUAGUUGUUCCUCCUGGUAUUGUUCAGCUGCUACAUUGGUUUCUCCCUGCUGCUGCUGAGUUCUACAGAUCCUUUCUAUGUGUCCAUGUCUACCACAUUUGUUGCAUUUCACAUCUGGUCUCCACCAACAUUUUUGUUGAGGAUGAUUUGUUUUCUUGCAAUGAGGACAGGGUGGAUAGGUUCCAGUUUUUUUAUUGUUGUUGUUGCUUGGCUUAUUGUUGUUCUUUUUGUUCUUCCUCCUUCUUGUGUUACCUUCAUUGGUCUGUGUCUUUGCUUGAAAAGCUCCUUCUACAGAACUUCCUUGCCUCAUGAGUCUUCUUUGUUCCAAAGCUUGUAAAGCAUUUAGUAGUUCUGCCAAGGUGAUACUUGACAAAUCUUUUGUGUUUUCCAAAGAAGAAAUUGUAGCUUCAUAUUUUUCAGGAAUUGUGACAAAAUUGUUUUGAACAACUCUUUCAUCAGAAAACUCUUUACCUAGCAACCUCACCUUGUUUGCUAUGGUAAGAAGUUGUUCUGCAUAAUCUUUUAUGGUUUGAGACUCUUUCAUCCUCACCAUUUCAAAUUCUCGAAUUAGAUUCAUUACCUGCACAUUUCUGACUCUUUCAUUGCCUUGAUAUUCUUCCCGUAGAUGCUUCCAGAUUUCUGCAACAGAUUCAAGUUGCAUGAUUCUGGUGAGAAUUAAUGGUGAGACUACAGAAAAUAAGCAAGCCUUGGCCUUAGCCUUCCUCGUCUUUUUCUCCUUAUGGUUUUUCAUCUGUGACACAGUUGGAUUGGCUCCAAGUGGAGAAAUUUCAUAAUCUUCCUCUAUUGCUUCCCAGACAUCAAGAGCCUGUAGAUGAACAGUCAUCCUGACAGCCUAAGUUUGGUAAUUUUCUCCAUUGAAGACUAGUGGUGCUGCUGUGAAGCUUGCUUCUUCCAUUUCUGCAAGGUUUUCAGAUUCAGGUUUGGUAUACGGUGUUUAGGCUCACACACCUCACUGGUCCCUCAAGACAAAAAUUGCUCUGAUACCAAACUGUUGGAAGCAGGCGAGGUUAACACACCAAGCAACAGAGAACAGAGAUAUGCUGCUACUGAUCUAUAUUUUUUAUUUGAUCAUAAGGCUGAAUUUAUACAGAUUGUGUAACAUAUAUGACCUCAAAAAAAGCAUCAAAUCAAGCUACUUGUUGAACAAAAAACUACCUCCUACAAAAUAGCAUCAGAAUUUAACUUAAAAGCAAAAACAUAAUAAUAGCAACAGCAAAAACAGAAACAUAAAAAUAGCUUCAACAUUCUAGUAAUCUCAUUGACUUCAAUUGCAUGUGGUUGACGAUUUCAGCCUUUUCCUCAGCAGCUACUAAGGCAUAACUCUCAACAGGGCCUCUUAAUUUCCAUUCUGGCAUCUAUAUGACCUGAUAAAUAGAAAGAAAAAAAAACAGAAGAAAAGCGGCACCUGGGUUCAUAGUAAGCAUCAAGACAGGAUGCUGAAAGAAGGGAGAGAGGAGAUUGCAAGUCCAAUCCUGAUAAAAUAUCAACAAAGAGUAUUAAAUGGGGCCAACAUAAAGACCCAUUAAGGUCAGCAGAUGGCAUGGCAUUUUUCUCCUUAAGUUUUCCAUGAUUAGGCUUGAAGUCAAAAUUUCACAUGUAAAUUUGUAUUUCUACAUUUCCCACUGACGACACCCAACUUCAACUUGAGUUAGAAUAACAUUGUGUGAACUUAUCUGGCCCUCAAAAUUUACUGUGAAGUGCUUUCUGCGUGUGAAGAUUCAGAAAAGCACCAAGGGAACAUGUAUGGUCUGCCUUUUUCUGAUGUUAUGUUUGUCUCUAAUUCUGUUCCAUGUCAUGGUAAAUGUUCACAUUGCUUGUAUGGAACACACCAGGAUCACUUUUUCAGGUUUAGGGGGAUACAAAAGGCUUCAUAUUGGGUUCAAUGCUUUUAAUGUGUUCAUUGGACAAAUCUGAAUUAUCAUACGCAUUUAGAUAAGAACAAUAAUGUGAAACCCUAGUUACACCUCCCCUGCAUAACCCCAACCCUGCUUGCUCUAUUUCAGUUUACUCACAAGUUUUACUGGUUCUUAUAAGUCAAGAAAAGGCAACUGAUGUUGGAUCGACUCUCUUCCAUGUAAAAAAUGCAACUUUUAUACAUAUAAAAGAACUUCUUCCCCUCACCAAUGUGGGAUUUCAUAGAUUUAUUCUGGAAACACAUCAAAGGAACAUCUUUUCUCUUGGGUGACCCUAAGUGGUGAGUCAGAUCAUUUGCAUGCCAUUGAGUUGCACAGUUGGAUAAAUGCACCUGCCUCCUGGGCUCCAGAGUUAAAAGGGUGGAUCCCUGGAUUGCAACCCUCUUGGCAUCUUGGUUUCUAUUCCAACAUCCACAUGACUUGACAAAACAAAAAACAGAAUAAAAUCAGCACUAUAUUCAUGCUAAGCACCAAUACAUGAUGGAAAUCAUUGCUUAAAGAUUUGGGGUCGUUUUAGGUUUUGACUGCCUCCUACCACCUCACCUAAUGACAAGUUUUUAUGCUUACAAAUCAAAUAUCGUUCUUCAUUAUAUUAAAAUCAUUUUAAGAUUUCAGAUCCAUCUGCUAAUUAUGAUUAUGAUAACAUUUAUUCACCUGUGCUUCUCAUUUUCGACACACAAGGCAUCUAGGUUUGCAGGAUUUCCUUAUUAGAUGAGAUAAAUGAGUACGUAUGGUUAUGUAUCCAGCAUUCAUUAACCAUGGUAUGUGACAUUUAGAAUUAAGAUAGCAAGCAAACUUUCCCUGCAGCUAGAGUAAAUUGUGAUUUCUUAGCCUCUAUGAGUGGUUCCCAAAUCAAAUUAACAUAGUGAAAUAUACGUAGUCCAGUGAAAGGAAAUGUAAAUUAUAAACUAACAGCACUACACUACUGGUAACAAUCGAUACUCUCUAUAUAAUGCAAUAAACAAUGUCACAAUUGCCUACAAGCAAGGCACAAACACUAGAACAAGUAAAGCACAAACCUUUCCCAACAGUUCCCAGUGACUGAUGCAUAUCAUACCCUCAACUCACAGAAGGGGAUGAUAUCAGUGCACUGCAGCACUUAUUUUACACAUACUACCACUACUACUACUACUACUACUACUCAUUAGCCAAAGUCACUCAGUUGGGAUGAGUGUGAGGUAGAGGUUUGUGGGGUGCUAUGUGGAAAGGAGUUUGGCUUCUUCUCAGGAGAUGGUAGCUUCUUUGCAGGAGUUGAAGGAGGCUUAAUCUUCUGUGGUGGAUUGAUUGUAUGAGUCUUUGGCACUCUCUUCUCUAGUACAGGUGAAUACCCAGGGGUGCAUCCAUAAUGCGGUGGCUUCUAUCCCUUAGGUGGUUUGCCAAAUUCAAAAUCGAAGGAUUUUUUUUUUUUAAGUAUACGUAUCUUUGAAAGCUUUUAUUUUGUAUGGCAAAUGGAAUGAGAGGAGCAGUCAUAUUCUAUUUGGCCAGAGCAACAUAUCACAAAUGAACAAGCUAUUUACUGCCACACUGGGCAAAACAUACAUAAUCCUUGUACUUCAAACAUCCAUGAAUUCUCAUCAUUUUCAGGACACGUUGCAUGGUCUAUCAUUCUAUAUGUCGGCAUAGUAAGUGCAGCUAAUAAGCCUAUUCAGAGCUGAAAUUCAAAAUCUAUUCACAGGAUAAUGACCUUAUUAUUGGAUUUUGCUCACUGUCAUACACACAUAUCAGAUAAAGCCCCACAUGCUCAUAAGCUACAAGCAACCUACAAGCACUAAAAUGAGUGUUAGACGUAUGAAACAUUCCCCAAUACUAGUAGUAUUACCUGUUCCAUAGAACACUAAAUUAGAAGAGAGAAGAUGUGAGACUCCAGCUUUUCUUUCUACAUAUUACUCAUAUCAAGUUGGAAUAGUUAGGCGGUAGAGGCUUGGGGUGGCUUGUGUAGGGGACUAGGCAGCUUCUCUCAGGAGUUGAUUUCGUCUUAUUCUGGAUGUCCAGGUUUCGUCCUUUCGAAUUUCCCAUGCAAAUCAGCAUUCUCCUUGGGAAACUUCACUCCGUUGGGAAACUUGUGUGAAUCUUUGGCAUUCUCUACCAGAGAAGGCCCAGGGCAGUGACCAUAAGGUGGUGGCCUUUUUUCAGGUGGUGGCUCCUCUCCCACUGGAGGCUUGUGGUAAUCAGCAAGAGAGGCAGUGGAGAGAAUCAUCACCCCAAGGAACAGCACUAGCAAGUAUUUGUGAGCCAUAUUUGGGAUCUGAUGAUGAAGACUAGAAGAUAGGAGUUGCCUCAUAUAAUGGGUUGGAGACUAUAUCUCAAGGGGACGUGUAUUUAUGCAUAUGAUCUAUAUAGGACCAUCCUCCUAAUAUUUUCAAAAUAAUGUUAUUGUCUCUCUUGGGUGACAGUUUGAUUUGGUCUAUUUCCAUGCCACUGAGUAGAAAAGUUUGACAAUUGGCUACACCACCUACCUGGAUUACAUGGUUGAAAGUGAAGAUCAGUACAGUGUGAUCACACUUGACCUCUUGUUCCCCAUUCCAGUAUCUAAUUAACCUGACAAAAGUAAAAGGAAAGGAAAAAGGGAAAAAAUAGAAUAAUGUUCAAAUAAAAACGAGAAAAAAUAGCAUAAUGUUGAUGAAUCAUGAUAAGCAUCAAGGCAUGAUAGUGAGAGAGAGGAAAGAAGACAGUGUAAUUUGCAAUCCUGAUAAUCAUUAUAUAGCAGUAACUUUAAUCAUUUUUCUAUCACAGGGAACAUGACACUCAUCUUCCUAUGGAGAUAUUGCAUAAGUUUUUUUCUUUGUAUGUCAACACUAACCAAUGAAGCAUGUUAGCUGGUUUGAAACUGAAACUGUAGCCCUCUGUUUGGUUCUUGAAAAACUUGAGAGAAAAUGGAAGUAAAGUUAAAAGGAAAGAAAAAGUGAAAAAAAAUAAAAAUAGAUUGAAAGUUAACAAAUUAUUUUUACAUGUUCCCUCAAAUUUCUUUCACUUAUUUUUCCUUUUCUAUAUAAAGAUUAAAUGAUUUAAAAAUCAUAAAUUUCUAACUAAUUAUAACUAUAUUUGAUUUUCUUUCAUAUUUUCCAAGAUAAAGUCAGACAUGAGAAAAUCAUUUUCCUUAAAAAAGAAAUUCUUUCCUUUACAGUUUCUUAGAACCAAACCUGGCACAAAAGUCCAAAUUGGGGUUUCUCCAUGUUCCAUUUUUUAUGGCUACCUUUAUGGACCAUAUAAUAUAGAAUGUACUUCUGCAUACCUUCAAGAUCAAGCUGAACUAUAAGAAAAAGACAAGCCAUGGCCCACGGAGCAGGGAUACCAAGCUGCCUUCUCCUAGAUUAAGUUCCAAGAUUUCAGUCUUCAAACCUGCUAAAAGCUAAAGGCAUGUUUCCAGCCUGCGGCAGAUAACAUGCACUGUCCAACAAUAAAUUGCAAACACAUUCGAUGCAGUUUAUUAGUACAAUAAGAUUAAAUCCACCAAAUCUUUUACAGUUCAACCAACACUUGAACUAGUAGCUAGCUUCACUACUGGGUAAUAAUAUAUAAACCAAACUCUUGAUAGGAACCAACCUAUCGCAGAUCGAACUUCUUACAUCCACCAUGAAUUACUGAACCAAAAGAAGAAUCGAAGAGACUGCCAAGGAGGAAAGCCUUCCUAUAACUAGAUAUUUAUAUUCCAAAUUAGGGAGAGCACCCACUGCCCAGGCCUCGCCCAGCAUAAACAGAUAGUAUACAUAUACAUGCAAAAAGCUCCAACCUUCAAGAUUUUAACUAUUAACUUAACACAAUUAAAAAUGUAUCCAAAAAGCAAAUCCCCUUGAACUCCUGAAGCAAUUACUCCAACCAAAUAAAGAUUUUAAGAGUUCCAUGUUCAUAUCCUGCAAGGAAAUCAUUCAAUGUUCAGACCUCUAAUUUCUGUCUUUCUAAAUGCCCAGCCAAAAGGCAUAAAGUAUCAUCCAAAUUGGAUGCACAGCAUAUGUUCUUAAAUCAUGGGAUUUCACCAUAAGUUACUACACUCUAACAGGGCCCAGAAAUUGACCUCCAGAUAUGCCUAUCAAAAAAUUAUCCCCACAUACAUUUUUCUGCUGAAAAGACAAUAUUGUUACAUUUGACAUUCAACCACUACUUGAACUCAACAACCAGGGAAAAGAAUAUAGUAUUUCUACCAAUGAGGAUGAGAGGGGCUGGUGAAUUAACAGGUAAAAGUUUGUUUUGGGUUCAUUGUUUGCAUAAUAAUGUAAAAAUGGAGUAGUAUAUUAUAAAUUAAUGUAAAAAUGGAUUAGCAUAACAUAAAUUGCCAUAAGAGAACCACAAACUACAAAGAAACUUAUUUUCCAAACAAGGAAAAUUAUUCAUAGCCAUUAUUACAUAAGAAAGGAAAUUGAUAAAAUUAUUAUCCAGUUCCCCAUCAGGAAAUAUGAAAGUACUCCUAAAAGCCUCAAUUCUAACCAGAAAACCAUAGAAAUGUAUUAGAAAUAUUGUACAGGGUUCUCUCCAAUAUUAGCUUCAGUUGCUAAGGAGAUCAGAACCUUGAAAGUAAGUCACAAAGGUCGUGUGGGUUUCCCAGAGUCUUCAACAACCAGUAUUCACAUAUGUACACAUUAAAAUUAAAUAAAGCAGGUAUCAAUUCCACAGGCUUUAAGAUUUGAAUUGCUUCUCCCUGGAAUCAUACACCACUCAUAUUGUCACUGACUUUCAAUUACUUCUCCCUGCGAUCAUAUGCCACUCAUAUUGUCACUGCCUUAGGGAACAAAGUGAAAAUCUGCAAUUUCAAUUAAUUCCAACAUAAAAAUAAAAAUCAAUCCUCAAAAAAUGGAUUGCCAGGAGGUAAAUAUAAUAGAAGACGAACAACUCUCACAACCAAGUUAAAGAAACCAGCCGCUAGGUACCUUUGAGUUCUAUACUACCAGGAACAAAUUGGAUGAGAUUAUUUAAAGGCUAUUCCACAGUGGAAAUUCAUUCGUUCAAAAAACAUUUGUCAUGCAUAUAGGCAAUCUAUCCUAUGCAUUCAUACAUCAUGGUCUCAUGCAAUCUUAAUAAAAGUGGUCCUGGAAAAAGAGAGAAAAAAGUAAUUACAAGCCUGUGCGACCAGAUUUCUUUUGUUUUUUUUUUUUUUUUCCUUUGCCAAACAACCAUGUUCAUAGUUUCAGAAGUUCAUUCUGUCUUUAAGAGACCAUGGCAGUGACUUGGCCAUUCAGCUAAGANNNNNNNNNNNNNNNNNNNNNNNNNNNNNNNNNNNNNNNNNNNNNNNNNNNNNNNNNNNNNNNNNNNNNNNNNNNNNNNNNNNNNNNNNNNNNNNNNNNNUCACCAAGGACUCCUCAACCUCAAAAUAAUAGAGAAAGUCUAGGACACCAUGUCACUACUGAGGACAACCCAACACCACAACAUUUCAGUCCGUUCAAAAAGAGUAAUUGGAAUUGUUGCAAAAAAUGUUCAACUAGUCCCAACAGGAGGCAAAUUCCUCCAUUUCUUCAUCGGGUCCGGAUCCUUUGCUCAAAAAGGUAAUUUUCUUACUGCCCUAAAAGAAAAAGGGAAAAUGUGAGUCAUUGGAUUGUUGACUCAGGAGCUUUUGAUCACAUGACUAGAGUGCCACAAUUUUUCAAAAUUAUACACCUUGUUUUGGGGAUGAUACAAUUCGUAUGGCUGAUGGUUCUCUCUCAAAGGUGACUGGUACAAGUUUUAUUGUCAUCUCUAAGGACCUAACUCUUGACUCUAUUCUUUUGGUUCCAAACUUGGAUUGCAAUCUAUUGUCCAUUAGUAAACUCACUUAUGAAAAGAACUAUGUUACUAAAUUUUUCCCAAACCAUUGUGUUUUUUAGAAUUUGAAUUCGGGGAAGACGAUUGGCAAUGUUGAAGUGUGUUUAGGACUCUAUGCCUUCAAAGUGAAUUAUUAUAUUGAAAGACAAUCUUAACCAACAGUUGGUGAAAAAUGGUGUCUUUUUGUCUUUAGUUCUAAUAAAGAUAGUGAUGUUAUGUUAUAGCACUAUUGUCUAGGACAUCCUAGUUUCUUAUAUCUCAAAAAACUCUUUCCAUGGUUUUCAGUGUGAAAUUUGUCAACUAUCCAAGCAUCUUUGCAAGCCCUAUCCAUAGUUUUAAAAGACUUAAGGCACACCAAGACGCAAAGUCCUCUUGGAGCCUUAGGCGCAAGGCACACCUAAGGCGCGAACUUUAGUAAAGUGAGGUGCAUCCUGUUUUACAUAUAUAUUUUUAUAUAAUACAAUCAAGUGCCCGAAAAUUUUCCUCUAAUUUUCCCCUUCUUCUUCAUCCUCUUCUCUUCUUCACAUUGUUCGGGAGGCUAGGACAUUUUUUUUUUUUUACAUGUCUAAAACAAGCAUAUAUUGGGUUUUGGAAGAAGAACAAGCCAAAAUGACAUCGUUUUGGAGCCUAAUCUUUUAAAUAAAUAAAUAAAUAAAUAAAAACCAGCCAAAAAUGACACCGUUUUGGCCCCUGUUCUUUUAAAAGAACAAACCAAACAACGUCAUUUUGAUCUCAGGAAAUUAAAAAAACAAAACCCUCGUCAUUCUCCCUUUGCUACUCUACAACUCAUCGUCAAAGGGUAAAAAGAUGACCAAAAGAAGAAGAAGAAAAAAAAAAAACGACGACAGAGGAUAGAGGUGCACCUGUUGAGGGCGUUGCGCCUAGCCAAGAGGCGAGCGCCUUGCACACUUAAUCAACGCCUCUGUGAAGGGGCGGCUCCUGCAAUCAGGCGAAGCGCUGAAGGGUGAUGUCACAUCGUCUAGAGCCUAGGCGCACCUUUCACAACUAUGACCCUAUCCAACUCAACCAUACAAACCAUCUCAUCUUUUUUCCAUACAUAGUGAUGUUUGGAGGUCAUCUAAAAUAAAGAACAUAACAGGGACUAGAUGGUUGAUGAUCAUACUAGAAUUUCUUAGAUAUUUCUAAUGAAAAAAAAAUCAAAAAUUAGUCAAAUUUUCUAAAAGUGGACCAGAAUUUCUUUAUUGAAUUAAAAAGUUGAAAUUAAUAUUUUGGAAAAGUUAGGGCCGCUCAAGAGGUAGAAAUAGCGCUCGAGUGGUAGAAAUAGCGCUCGAGUGGUAGAAAUAGCCCUCAAGUGGUAGAAAUAGCGCUCAAGCGCUAGGACCGCUCAAGCACUUAACUAGCGCUUGAGCGCUCAUAUAGAAUCUGCCAGAAUAUGGAAGAAUAUUUUUUGGAUAAUCAUGAAAAUUGGAUUUGGAAACUUUAGAAUAUCAAUCUCCUUCGGCCUAGAGGUUUAUAUAAACCCUAUUAUAACCCUUUAGGGUUAAGAAAUUCACCAAGUGGUUUACCCUAACUUGUCAUACCAUUCCCGAUCUCUCAUCAAGGAAUCAAAGUGUUUAAUCUUGGGUUGUUUGAAGACCUGCAUCCCUUCAACAAGGCUAAGGUGUAUUCACUAGAACAAUUGAAAUUGUUGCAUUGCGGACAUGAAUCAAGUUGCAGGUUCUAGAGAGUAAGUCUUUAGAAUAAAGCAGACAAAGAGUUCUAUGUGACUUUAUCUCAUAUAGUGGAUUUAGCUUUGAGGUCUUAGACCUCGUGGGUUUUUAUCUCCAUAGUUAGUGUGGGGGUUUUCCACAUAAAAAUUAUUGUGUCUCUUGAUCUUAUGUUUGAUUUUAGAUAUUCUAUUUAUCCCUGAUAUCUCACAGGUUAACUUUAGGUUAAAAAUUCAACUCCCUAUUUAAUAAUUUUUAAAAUACACCCAUUCACGAGUGUUAUCCUACUGGACAUUGGUUUUUCACCAUAUAUAACACUCAUACCAAAACCCAUGCAACAUGGACUCCAACCUUAAGCUUAACUUUCUACGAAUGGAAAAAAAAAAAGACAUAACAUAAAUAGACAGAUUUAACAACAUGCUCCUAAUCAAGGUGAAUGUCCCUCUUUUUGAAAGAUAUGACCUUUUCCAUACGAGGAGCUUUCUUUAAAAUUUCACCUCUACCAAUUCCCAUGCCUUUACAAAGUUGUGGAAAGCUCCAAAGAGAAGGCCCAGACAUGUAAUGGGUAGAUUCCCUACCUUAGAACCUUACACCAAAGCUAAACCCCUAAUAUUUGUGACUUCUAUAAGAAUCAAUUCAUUUUUUUCCAUAUUUAUUUCUAAAUCAGACAUUGCCUCAAACCACAUGAAGUUAUAACUUGGAUGUUACAGAUGCUCUUAAUUAGUGUCACAAAAAAAUAGGGUAUCAUCAUCAAACAAGAAAUGUGACACUUCCAUCCCCUCCUCCUGUCUUCCUCCCACUUUGAAACUUGAGAUGUAACCCCUUUUAUCUAAUUCUCCUCAAAAUUCAAUUGAAAGCCUUCAUUGCCAAUAUGAAAAUGUAAGGGGAGAGAGGAUCUUUCUACCUCAAAUCCCUUGAGCUCUCAAAGAAACUGAAUAGGACACUAUUUACUAGAAUAGAGAAUUGAGUAGUGGAAAUGAACCAUUUGAUCCACCUCACCCACUUAUGAUCAAAGUCCAUUUUAUCCAACAUCAUUAACAAAAAGUUCCAAUUUACAUGGCCAUCGUCCUUUCCAAUGUCUAACUUGCAAAUUACCCCACUAUUGGGACUCUUUAACCUUGAAUCUAGAGCAUCAUUUAUGAUUAGAACUGCAUCUAGAAAUUGUCUGUCUUCCACAAAAGCAUGCAAAUAAACUAAAACUAUUUUACCCACCACAUUUUUUAGUCUUUUAGCCAAGACUUUUUCCAAUAGCUUGUACAAAAAAACCCCCAACUAAGCUAAUCAAUGUAAAAAAUUUUAGGUUCUCUGCUGCACCUAUAUUAGGGAUCAAGACCAAGAACAUGACAUUUAAAUUUUGCUCAAAGGAACAAUUAUCAAAAAACUCCCCAAGCUCAUUUGCCAAAAUAUUAUAAUAAAUCCAUUUGGCCCCUACAGCUUUAUCCCCACUCAAGCUAGACAAGGCAACAAGAAAUUCCUCAUCAAAGAAAGGUAACUCCAAUUUCCUAGAAUCAGCACAUAGCAUAACUUCAAAGGUCAUCCCAUUAAUGUUGAGUCUCCACUCGCCCAUAUCAGAUAGGAGAUUUUGGAAGGCCCUAAACUCCCCUUCCUUUAUAUUUGCUUCCCAAGCAACCAUUUUGCAUUCACUCAAAUUUUAAACAUGAAGUUUUUUAUUCUUUGGGCAUUGACCAUUUCAUGGAAAAUUUUGGUGUUUUUAUCCACCCCCUCUUUUAACCAAAUUUCUCUUUAUUUUUGCCCCCAUACAUAUAGAUUCUUCUAACAAGGCCCACUUGCUAAACUCAAUCACCACUAACCUUUGGCCUCAACGAUUUCAAGAGAUAAGGUAACUGCUCUCUACUUUGAGUCCCAGAAGUUGAUCCAGUUUAGCACCUCUAGGUUUUUUGUUGAGACAUUCCCAAAACCUUCUUCAUUCCAAGAUUUUAAAUCUCGUUUGACAGCCUUUAGUUUAACUUCCAAAAUAUGACCAUACAAGCCAUCCACAUUAUAACCAUCAACCAACUCCUCACAAAAUCUUUUAAGCCUUUUGUUUUAGGCUACAUAUUUUAAAAUGUAAACUGUGUUUUCCCACUCCUUAUCCUACCUCCAUCUAAAACUAUGGGGUAAUGACCAAAAAUUGGUUUAGGUAAAAUACUCUAGAUUAAAGUAGAAAAACGAUUCUACCAAUCAUCUGACACUAGGAAAUGGCCAAGCUAGCCUUGAAGAAGACAAAAGAUUAUGAACACCACUCCAAGUGAAUAGCCCUCCAACUAGCGAAAGAUCCCAAGGUCAAGUCCUCUAUGUCCUCUGAAAAGAACCUCAUAUCAAACAACAUUCUAAGGCAAUUCCUCCUUUUCAUGGGGAACUUGACCAUAUUAAAAUCCCCUCUGAAGCACUAGAGGUCAUCCCAAAGGCCUCUUAUGGCACCCAACUCUACCCAGAAAUCCACUCUUUCUCCCCUUUAAACCAACCCAUAAACUCUUACGUAUACCUAGACAAAGCUAUCUUCACAAUUCAUAGACAAGCAAUAGAGAAUGCUUCCACCUCCUUACCAAUUAACUCUAAUACCCUACUAUCUUGGAAAACCAAAAUGCCUACUAUCAAGCUUCUAACUUCCAAUACCAUUUCAAAAAUUUUCCUACUCCUAAACUCCUUACCAGUUGAACGAACAUCUAUCGAACCUUGGUUUCUUGUUAACAAACUAGAUCAACCCCUUGAGACCUUAUCAAUGACUUUAUUAUCAUAUACUUUUCCUCAUCAUUUGCUCAUUUGACAUUCCAAGACAGGAUUUUUAGCUUCAUCAUGCAACCUAUGUUGGAUCCUAACUGCUACUCUUGGAGCCCUUUUCCUUUUUGUUGAGCUUUUAUAAUUGACUAAGCAUCCCAACUUGUUGAGGUCCCUCUCAAACCAAGAUAUCGAGGUUAACUUCCUCUUCACCUCCAACGAAAAAACAGAAACCCCUCUCCUUAGCCUGCCACACAAGGGAAAAGAUCUCUUUUUCAAAUCCAUCAACUGGCAUUCUUGAGAAACUAUUGAAAUUUGCCAACUUACAAGAUAUACAAUUGGAGGAGUGCUUCUCUACCAAACAACUACUAAAAUUCACCUCAAAGGUGACCUUUUCCCCUGAUCUCUCCCCGGCCUCCAUACCCACUGACCCUUUCACAAAAUUUUCUAGAAUUUCCACUAUCAAGCCGUUACGGAGAACCAUCCUCAACAAACUCCUUUGACUAAUGUGAAAAACCCCACCCAAGAGCAUCUUCCAGAAGUUAACUUACAAGAUUAACUAUAAUCUUGUGAAGACUCGUUACCUAAUGGGUAAAAAAUUUGAAAUUCUAUUAGUAUAAUUCUUUUUAGGCACAAAAGCUGUGAAAAUAGCAUUGGUGCUCUAAUUAAUAACCCCAUAAUUAUUAAGCAAUAAAACAACUUUUAAUAAAUUCUCUUUCACCACAUCCCACCAAUCCUAAUGCAAAAAAGCUAGGAAAAAGUCAUCAUUGCUCUAAGCAUUUCUCCUCACUAGUUGAAAGACUGCUUUAUGAACUUCCUCUUCGACAAAAGGACAAUCCAACCAAUUAGCACCAUUUUCCAAAAUGAGAGACCAACCCCCACUCUUCUAUCCUCUAAGGAUCUUCAUAUAACCAUUAAUGCCUUUCUAUACCAGCUAGUAUAUAUCGGGUUUUGGGCAAGUCCUAUAAAUUGGUUUGAGUAAGAUUUUUAAUUACCCUGUUCUUUCUUUUUAGUUGAUAAAUAUGCAUAUAUGUAGUAAUUCAUACAUCAGAAAAGAUUUUGCUAAAACAAAAGAAUUGACAUGCAGAUAGUGACUUCUUGAUAAGAGUAAUAGCUUAAGGGAGGAAAAUGAACUCCUCCAGUGGCCCCAAAGUGGUAAGUUCCUUCAGAUCCCAUGUUGCUAUUCUGCAUUUCUUUGUGUUUUGGCAUCAGCCCUCUUAAUUAAUUCACUAUCCAGCUUCUCAAAUUCCUCGGAUUCUUCCCUUGUUCUUGUGGAAACAUCUGCAUCUUGUCCUUGCAUUGUUAUGGAUUGGUGAUUAUCAUUCUUUGAGAACUGUGUGGCAGCUGCUCGUGCACCAGCUAUGGCUGCAAGGAGACCUUCUGGUUUCUUGUCUUCAGCAGCUUUGGAGCCAUCAAAGCAAGAAACAAGUAAUCCUGGUUUCAAAGAGAGGGGAUCUUGUGGUUCUGGAAGCAGAAACUUGACAGGUAGUGGAGCUUGAACAGGACGAAGACCCCUAACUGCUGCCUCAUAUAUCUGCAACAAUUUCAGGGGGGAUAAGUAAUUAAAAAUCAGUCACUCUAUUGCAUUAGUUAGACUUGCUUUCAAUGCGAUAGCAAAGAAAGAAUCAUCAAUGAAAAAAGAAAAAAUAAAUGAAAAAGAACAAAAAGGAGAGGGAAAAAAAAAUGAUGGGUGCUCAAUUUGUACUUUUCUUUCCAGGUUAUAAAUACGUUGGUACCCGCGCAUCUCAAAUGGUAUGAUUAAUUUCUGCAUCAGGUCAGGAGAACUAAGUCCAUCAAUAUACUAAAAAGCAAAUAUACCAAAAGGCAAGCAAAAAUGUUUAACCAUCUUGAGUGUCAAACUCUCCAAGAAACUAUAUACUUUUAGCUGAAUGAAAACACAUGCCUGUGGUUGCUCACAGAGCCAGCAAAACUCUGUUUGCGCUUCUAGCCUUACCUACAAAUAGAGUUUAGGUUAUCCAACCAAAAUGGAGAUACAUCACACAAAACAAACUGUACCUAAUCAGUUUACGAAGGGGACGGGGGGAAGCAAAAAGCAAAAGUAAAUUUCUAAGAUGCCCACCCCUUCAGGUACCUCCUUCCAGCACGCCAGCUCUUCACAUUUAACACAACCAACUACUUCAAUACAACCUGUGGCAAGAAUAGAGUUUGUUGGAUUUAUUGUAGCAUGCCAUACAGAAAAAUUUAGCAUUUCAGUAAGAAUAAGAAUAAGAGAGCUACUUUCCACUAAAAUACGAAUCACCCAUCAACUGUUGCAAACAGACAACAAUGUGAAUAACAGGUUUUAUAUAUAUAUAUAUAGAGAGAGAGAGAGAGAGAGAGAGAGAGAGAGAUAGAUAGAUAUAGAGAGAGAGAGAGAGUCAAAUAAUAAUAAAGGACAAAAAUAUUUCUUUGAGAAAGACUAAUUAGAAAGAAGAAACAAAGAACCCACAUGAAAUCAAUUUAGAUAAGAGAAAUACCUUUAAGAAUCUAGUUCUUUUUGCAAAUUGCAACUUAGAAUUGGAAUGCCACAUAUUAUUAUAAGGUAUCACAAGAGAUUAUUGCUUCAUUUUUUUUCUUUGCCAGAUCAGUUUUAAUAAAUAUAAAUAUAAAAAUAUAAGCAUGUACACACACACACGCAAACACAUUAUGUGUGUAUGUUUAUGGAUAUGUAGAUAUAGGUUUUUAAUAAUAGAGCAUGAAAACAUAUCUAGUCAGAAAUUCCAAAAAUCCAAAACCAUUAGCAACACCUAACAGUCUUGAAACUGGGUAAUGUUCUGGAAACUUGAGGUCUGCUAUCCCAUUCACAGCAUAGAUCUCCCUGUAGAAAUUCUCCAUUGCUUUGAUUGUGUCUGAAUCUGGGACCUUACUAGCAGCAUGAAUCCAGAGUCGGCCUUCAUAAAACAAAACAUGUAUAUUAAGAAAUAUCCUUGUAGAACAGUAACAUUUUUGCCAGCAUGCAAUUCGUGUUAAUAAUCCUUGGUUCUCACCACUCAUUGUACAUUACAAUGUAAAGACCUAAUAAGCCCUAAUAUAGGUAGGUGUCUGUGCAGAGAGAGAGAGAGAGAGAGGGGAGGGGGGUGAAAGGAAAGAUGAUUAUAGAACAAAUACAAGUUGAAUCUCCUGAAAUAAUGUCCAUCAAGUUAUUUCCUAGCAACAAGUACUGAUUAUGCUUUUCCUGAUAACAUGAUUUUCUUUGCUAACAACCAUACUAUAUUUUAUCAAGAAAGAGUAGUGCAUGUGGCGUGCAUCAAGACCCAUUAGAGUUCCGCUAAACCUAUAGUUCUGUCAACGUUAUCAUUUACGUUUCCUCUAGAUAAUGGCAUUUUCCUCUAAAACUCUUGCACCAUUAGGCUUCAAGUCAAAAUUUCACAUGUGAACUUUGGAAAUUUUCUCCAUUUGCCCCUAAGGAUACAGUUAGAAUUGACUUAAAAUCCUGAUUGAUGUAUACUUUUAACCGAAGAAUAUUGUAUAUAAUAAUUGAAAUAUUGUUGAUUCAUCGUGGAAAUACAUUUUGUAAGGAAAGUUGUUAAGAAUUUAGUAUGCUAUAUGGAGAAAAAAGUCAUGACUUAAGGUUGAGUAUGUAUAUUCUAUAUCAAAUAUUAGGUAGGAAUGUGGAAAAGAGCAGAGUGUAAUUAUAAGAAACAAAGAAAUAUAAGAUAUUCUUGAAAGUGGAAAAUGUAAAAUGGCUAAAAGUCAAAUUUAUGAUGCAUAAGGGGGAUCAUGUCACAUAAGAAACUCAUGGCAUACCAAAUACGUGUGGUAUGGAGUAACAAUUUUGUUAAAAUAAGUUUCUCGUUGGAGUACAUUAGGUGACAAUUUUUUAAUAUCAAAUUAAAGAGUCAAGUGCAUCAAUGAAGUCAUAUGUAGAAAAUUUGUUUGUGACAUGUACCAUAAAGAUAAGAUUGACUUGAUAUAAUUUAGUCCAGGUAGGAGUUGUUAAAGGUGUCUCAAAUUUCUAAUUGAUAUAUAUUUUUUUCUAAAAAAAUAUUAUAUAGAUAUUUCAAUAAAUGAUUAAUUCUUUGUAAAAAUACUUACAUAAUAAAAAACAUCAUUAGAAAUAUCUCUAUAAAUAUUUUAAAUCACAAAAAGAAAAAAAAAAUCACUAUGAGAUAAUUAUAAACAUGCAACAUUGUACCAAGUAAACAGAAAUGUGAUAAAAAAAUUUUGAGAAACACUAAAUAAAGGAAGGGCUUGUAUAUCAAGAUGUAAAUAUAGAGAGCAAUAUUUUUAAUCAUAUGAUAGAAUUAUUUUCUCUCAUUCAUGAUUAUAAGCAAAAUUGGGAACCAUUAUAAAAUCUUGUACACCUCGUGUAAAUUGAUGUUUGUCUUCAUAUUUUACACCAACAAAUGACAUUGAAGUUGUCAUUGAUAAAAGGGAAAAGGCAUGGCCUCCACACCAUGUGCUUGAAUCGUAUGGUUCAAGUUUAAAGAAUUUUCUCCAUAAUUUGAAGAUCUAAAACAUUUUCACCUUUAAAUUUCAUUUAAUUAUUAAUAUCUACAAAAAAUAGUUAAAUACUCUUUCUAUUUUUGAGUUGUUGAAUUUUUUGAAAGUUUUUAUAUUUGUUAUCAAGAAUUUAUAUUUUAUUAAGUGUGAAUAUUUAUAAAUAAGAUAUUAUAUAAUAUUUGGAUAAGAGAGAAUGGUGGAAUAUAAUAAAGUUUUAAUCCUUCCCAAUUUUUAUCUUUUUUUUUUUUUUUUUUUAUAAUCGCCUUUCUCUUUCAAUCCUAUUAUCAGGUACCUUAUAUUUGCUGAUGCUAUCUGGAACUAAAUUCCAAUCAGACAUUGUCCAAUUACUAAUAGGACAGAUCAUGUCUCUCUGUUUCUAAACUAACAUGUAUCGUAAUGUGGCCUCAUAAGGAAGGCUAGGAAGAUGGAGGAUUUUGUGGGAAGCGACCAGAAUCAGAUGGAAGAGAGAUAGCCCUGUUGACCUAAUGGCUGUAAUAGGAGAAGCGUGUGGAUUUAUGGGACUUAACUGAUACUAAACCUAUAUGAUGCUUGGAGUGGUGUUUCUUUCAUUUUGUUAAGAAAAUAUGGCAGCAUACAUCCUUUCAAUUGAGUGCAUCAGAGCAUCCAUAAUAGAUGGUCUGCAACCCUAGGUGCAUGCCACUUUCUGACUGAUAAUGAAACUGUCAGGUACUUGGCCUUGACUAAGCUCAACAGCAUCACAUAAAAAGAAGCUUUCAUACUUAGAUUACUGUUUAAAGCUUUUGCUUAUUUGCUUUCUUAAUGCCAUUAUGACAUUAUUGUUUCAAUUCUGCUACCGAUUUUCGAAGUUCUGGGCAUCUACUGAUUGCAUCAUUAUAUGAGAAGUUGCAUGAGUUUAUGUAUCCUGUUAUUGCUCCUUUGCGAUUUCACUGCUCACGGGACUAACCUCUCCAUUCAGUCGAAAUGAAUUGUAAUUUCUUUACUGGUAGCAGUAGUACUUUUCAUAGCAAAGAUAAUAGUAAAUAUGAAAUAUAAAUAGAAGGAAAUCUGAAUUGUAGAUGGCACUAUAAGUAACACUCAAUAUUCACUACAUAAUAAAAUAGACAGUGUUACAAAGGUAGAGAAACCUACAAUGAGUACUCAUCACCAUUCUCAAACAGAAACAUAGCAGCGACUUAUACAUAGAACCUAUAGGCUUGCAGGGAAAGAAGGGAAAGAGUAACAUGAUAAGUUCACAGCGGGUAGCAGCUCUUAUUUUACGUAUUACUCAAAAUCUCAAACUAACCAAAGUCACUCAGUUGGGAUGGGUAGGAGAUGGUGGUUUGUGGGGUGGCUUCUGGGUAGGAGCUGGUGGCUUCUUUGUUGGAGUUGAAGGAGGCGUAAUCUUCUGAGGUGGCUUGUAUGAGUCUUCGGCACUCUCUGCAGGAGGGUGCCCAGGGUUGUGACCGGAAGGAGGUGGCUUCUGUCCCUUUGGUGGUUUGCCUAAUGGGCUUGGUGGCUUGUGCUCCGGGAGUUGUUUCUCUCCCUCGAGUAGGUUUCGAGUUUUGUCAGAUGGCUUGUGUUCUGGUGGUGGCUUCUCUCCCUGGGGUGGUUUGCCGAAUGGGCUUGGUGGCUUGUGUUCGGGGAGUGGCUUCUCUCCCUGGAGAAGGUUACGAGUUUUGUCAGAUGGCUUUUGUUCUGGUGGUGGCUUCUCUCCCUGGGGUGGUUUGCCAAAUGGG